RNAcentral lists this long non-coding RNA (67052 nucleotides) under Zea mays. RNAcentral's name for it is "long non-coding RNA (ZMAY_LNC003314)". The record is from RNAcentral. Lineage: Eukaryota; Viridiplantae; Streptophyta; Magnoliopsida; Poales; Poaceae.
GGAACGACACUGCCGCCACCCUGGGCAAGGACAGCAAGCCCUUGGAGUAGAUGGUAGUAGCACCAUGACCUUAGAGUCCGACUACUUCAUUGCCUAUGGUAUUGUCUUUAGGAAUAAUGUUGUAGUAGCAGCGAAGAAGAAGAAGAAGACAGAAGGCGAGGCUCCUUCGUUGCGGGUGCAAGGAACAAAGGCAACCUUCUACAACUGCAGCGUAACACCCAAAAUCUUAACAGGUGAAUCAAGGAACAAAGGCAACCUUCGUUGUGAGGGCGCCUGUGUGCCCAACGUACAUCGCACAGGUGAGGCCCCGUCGCUGCAACGUCUGUGUCGCCGUCGCCGUCACCGGUGUCGGGGUUGGGGAAGAGUGGGGCGAUCGUGGAUCUUCAGAUGUGUGGUUCAAAUUAGAUGUGGGCUAAUGCUUCGCCUUGAAGCGAUCUGAGCCGCAGAUCCGUUAACUGAUGGGGUGGAAUAGAUCAGGCCAGCACUGAAUCUCGGGCGUGGAUCUUGAAUCCUACGGUGGCUGUCGUAUAUCGAGUUGAGCUUAGAUCUGGGCCGCGGAUGUCCGAUCCAAUAGCACUGAUCAGACCAAGUCUACCGGUUCGCCUAGAUCUAAUCAGUGCCCUCGAUUCUAGAUCGGGCGGCUGCGAUAAACCAGUACCCCUUCAGCUCGGCCAGUUUGCUAAAGAGCCCCUAUGGAAACAGUGAAUUAACCCGCAGUCCAUCCCUAUAUUAGGAUCAUUACAUAAUUGUCCAAACAUUUGUAAAAGUAACCUUGCGCUCUUAUAAAAUUAUGGCCGCAACCCACUGGUCUCGGUUAGUUGGUAAUAAUUAAUUUUAAAAGAUAUUUGAUAUAGAAAUAAAUCUAGAAAUCUAUAAAAUUCAUGAUUCCUUUAUUUUAACUCUAAAUUGAUUCAUUCCAGUUGCAUUAAAUUCAUAAAAAUAUUGUUUUGUCAUCUGGUAACCUUAGUUUGCUAUGAAACCUAGAUAAGAAAAAAUAUACACUUAGUUUCUUUCAUAUCCAACACUUAAAUCUUCAGAAAAUCAUAACUCUUUAACCGUAACUCUAAAUUUAGUGGUUCUUGAACCUAGGUUCUCGCUACGACACAUAGAUCAUUAUUAUGCAGUUUGUUCUUAUGUUUAGUGUGAUGUUAAUUUUUCCUAUACCAUGUUUGUUUGUAUUGCGACGAAUAGCAGUGUGGUUGCAAAUCACUUGAAGACCAACUGACUACCUGGGAAUCUCGCGUCUAAAGCAAGCUGUGUCCUUGAUCACUCUUCUUUACCUAAUAAUGUUCUUGUUAAUCACUGUGACAUGCUCAAGUUAAUUUGAUGGGACCUAAUAGGUUUCCCUAGUAUUGUUUAUCCCACGCCUUGCAAACAUAUGAACUAUUGGUAGAUUUGCUAUUGCUCUACCUAGUUUUGGGAAAUUAAUCUUAUACUAUGAUCAUGUUCCAAUUAUGCUGUUGUUUAAUUAUUGUUCAUGACAAGAUCAUUGUGUUAAUUGGAACAUGGAGCUUAACUUGAGAUAACAGUGCUACCACAAGGGUGGAAUGGGACGCCCUUGGCCAAGUAAUUAGGAAAGCUAGGGAGAGAUUACCUUACCCAGAAGGGGCAAGCAGGGAGGCAUCACUGCUAGAGUAUAGGGAGGUCCUCGGGUCGAACUUUCUGUGAAGCUUUUCGGACGAGGGAUUCCUCUACUUCCUUCGUCCUGAAUCCGUAGCCGGGCUUUCUCGAACUGGUGGAACUUUGGAAAGGAGUGGUAGUGCUACCCUGCCUCAUUUCCUCGGUAGAGGUGUAUGGGGUCCGAUCAACCCCAUGGCAAAUGGGUAACACGACUUGUGGGUAAAGAUGUGCAACCUUUGUAGAGUGUAAAACUGGUAUAUCAGUCGUGCUCACGGUCAAGAGAGACUCAGGACUCUCGCAUGAUUAAUUUAUGGAACUAAACUUCAGGACUCUCGCAUGAUUAAUUUAUGGAACUAAACUUAAUCUGUCAUAUACAUUGCAUCGCGGGUGUUUUUAUCAAUUGUGAUCUCUUAUUUAAUUGGGUUGGUAUCUACUUAUACCUAGUAACUGCUAAUAAAAUUUUGAUCAACUUUAAAAGCAAUGCUCAGCUUUAACCAUCUCCUUUGGUAAGCCUUACACUUCAUAUGAGCUCCCACCCUUGGUGAGUUUAUGCACAUUAUUCCCCACAACUUGUUGAGCAAUGAACGUAUGUGAGCUCACCCUUGUUGUACUCACAUCCCCACAGGUCAAGAAUAGGUACCACUGGACGAGGCGCAUGAAGUUUGCUAUGAUGAGUUCGUGAGUGGUAAAGGUCGUCGUCUCCCAGUCAACUUUGGGUUGUUGGAUCAUUGUCUUCGUAUGAUGUAAUUAUUAAACUAUUUUGUAUAGAACUCAAUUAUAUAUUAAAGAUGUGACAUUCAUUUCUAUACCAUGAAUCAUCAUAUGUGUGAGAGUUGAUCCUAGCACACUUGGUGAAGUUCGCGCCCGGGUUUUGGACCCAAUGAAUCUGGGUGUGACAGAAGUGGUAUCAGAGGAAUGUUGACUAUAGGACGUAACCUAGAUAGAACUGGAUAACGCUUUCCUACUUACCUUUGCUACUCUGAUUUAUUCUGAAGUUUUCUUAAUCUUUUCUCAAUUAUUGCUACUUUACUCUAUUUAUUCUUACCUUUUCACCUCUAAAGACAAAAGCGGAUUUCACACUUUAAAAUCUUGUACCGAAAGUGACCUUUAGGAAUAGGAGACCUAAUCUUAGGAACAAAAACAAAAUUAUUUUGUAAGUAUCUAUACGCUUGAAUGUUUGUUCUUAUGAUAACUGUUUGAUUUGGUUCUUUGAUUGAGUGUUGUGGAGUAAUGUCCACAAUUGCAUCUGCAUAUACCUCUAGGCAUAGAAAAAAAUAUUUAUAAAAUAACUAGACAACCUAGAUUAUCCCCCAUUAAAAUGUAGCUAGGAUCACAUAUCUAUCUUAGUAGAUUCUAUCUUAUCCAUGGAGAUUCAUCUUAUAAGCAUAGUUAACCCGACAUAGACGCAAAACAACAGAUCAAUGCUCUGCCUAAGACCCUUCAAUUUAUGACUAGCUACUAGGCUACCUGUUCUACCUACUAAAUUAUUCCCCUUGCAAAACUAUCUUACCAUAUGUCUCUAACCCAGAUGGUUAAUACCAGGAGGGGAGGAGGUGUUGAUCUACUCACACGAAUUCAUCGAAGAAGGGUUGUAGCUAAUCCAGAACCAAAAAUGAAUCCCCUAAAUCCCCCGCCUGUUGAUGACGUGGCUGCUGCUCAAAUGCGAUUACUAUAACAAAUGGCAACACGAUGACGGAAAUGCAAGCAUAGAUCUAUCAAGAACGAUAGAAAAUACGGCAAGAACGUCAAGAAAUGCGCCAAAAAUGGUAGGAACGACAGCAACUACCACCUCCACCACCACCAGCUCCACCCAGGGAUAAGCACCAGGAGUUUAUGAGUCAUAAGCCACCGACAUUCUCCAACUUCUCCGACCCACUGCAAGCUGACGACUGGCUAAACUCCAUGGACAAGAUGCUCAACAUAGCCCAGUGUACUGAUAGGGAGAAAGUGCUAUAUGCAUCGGGUCACCUCACUGGCCCUGCUGCAGAUUGGUGUGAUGCAUAUUGCGAUGCUUACGCCGCUGCUAACACCAUUUCAUGGGCAGAAUUCUCCACUCACUUCAGGAAUUACCAUAUUCCUACUGGUCUCAUGAAAAUAAAGAAGGAGUUCCUAUCCCUCAAACAGGGAGGCAUGUCCAUAAGCGAAUACAGAGACAAAUUCAUCCAGCUAUCCCGGUAUGCUCCUGGUGAGGUCUAUGAUGAUGAGAAAAAGCAACAGCUCUUUUUAGAGGGUUUGAUCGGACCACUACAAUACCAACUAAUGACGCACACAUUCCCAUCCUUCUAGAGAAUGCUAGACAAAGCUAUCGCUCUGAAGCACAUGAGGGUUGAGCUUGGAGAAAAAGGAAGGCUACUAACUAGGGACAGGCUAGGAGCAGUACCCGUCCCCGUUAUACUGCACCCCAAGGCACACCAACUCUUUGCAGUUCCGGGCAACAGACUCAACAGACCUAAUCACCUCCUCCACAAGCAAACACAUCAUCAGGACUUGUUGCUCCUAAUACAUCAAGAAACAGGUCAUGCUUCAAGUGUGGACAGACUGGACAUUAUGCUAACUACUGUCCCAACAGGGCUACUUACACCACUCCAGCUCCGAUGAACAAGGUCAGGCCUCAGGAGGCAAGAGUCAGGCCUUAUCCGUCAAUCGAGGUCAGGUCAACCACGUGGAAGCAGAAGCUGAACUUAGUGAACCCGAAAACCCGGAAGAGGUGCCGAUUGAAGGUGAAGAAGCCGGUGAAGAAGUCAACGAGCAACAAGAUUAUAGUAUAUAUAUAUAUAUGUUUUAAGUAAUAUUUGUAAGACCUAAAUAAUACCUUAGGUAGUAGUUAGUACUUUAUUAUUUUAAGAAUAGUAAUAAGGUCUAUUCGUCCCUAUGUGUUAGUAAUAAGUUAUGCAUCGUGCUGAGUUCUUUAUUGUGCAUAUGUUUUGAGACAAGAUAGUGUUACAUUCAUUUCUUACUAAUCUCGAGGAUGAGAUUAUUUUUAAGGGGGUAGAAUUUGUAACACCCAACAUCUUAACUGGUGAAUCAAGGAAAUGCUUUAAAAUAAAUAAUAAUAUAAAUAAUAAUAUAAAUAAUAAUAUAAAUAAUAAUAAUAAAUAAAGUACCCUUGAUAAAUGAUGGAACUUUUGAAUUCACCUCUUUCUAAAAGUAAAUGGUCAUAAUAAAAUAAUAUUAGAUAAAUCAAACCUUAAUAAAGAUUAGACAUUGAAAAUGUUUUUCUAUCAAAACAAAGGAAUAUGAAUUUUGGAAUCUAUCUUUAAACUGACCACACAACCAAAAUCAUAUUCUAUGGAAAUAAUAUGGUGUGUAUUUCAUUACCUAAAUAACAUAAUAAUAAUAAAUAAAGUAACUAAAUAAAUAGAUUAGUGCACAUCAUACUGGAGGUCUAUUUGUGCAUCUAAAAUUAAGGGUUUAAAAUUCAGACUUGAGUUUGAUUUGAAAUUGAAAUAAGAAAAAUAAAAUCAGAAAAAGAAAUAUAAAAGAGAAGCAACUGUGCCUGGGCCAAAACCCACGAUUCGGCCCACUUAUCGGCGCCGUGUGGCCCAGCCGUGCGCGCGCUUCUGGACGUCCCUUUACAUUGACAUGGAGGGCCCAUGUGCCAGACUCGCUCCUUACCGCACGCUACCCACUGACAACCGAACCCCACGAACCAUGCCUCCCUCUCCAGCGCUGCAGCGACCGGAGCUCGCACAACAGACCCCGCGCAGAUUGCGCGUGCCGUUGCAACCAACUCGGUGCGCUAGCUGCGUGGUGAGUCGGCAUCGGGGUAUAAAGACGGGGCUACCCUCGACGACCAUCGCGGCCGCGACACCAACCAGACCACCAUGCGCCAUACCCAACGGAAACUAGGCCACUGCGGCUACCUCUCGAGCUCGCUAUCGCCAGCGUUCAUGGAAGGGCUGGGAAGGACCCCCAUGCCAUGUGGAUCGUGCGCGGGCAGCUAAUCAGGCUCGGGGAGUCGGAGGUCGGCGACAAUUCCUCACCAAGAAAUCAGCGCCGCCGUAGAUCCGCCGAGAGCUGAGGCCAGCAACCUCUGUGUGCAAGAUUCUCGGUAAUCUUCCCCUCCGUAUGGUCGCAGAUGUCUCCUCUUCGCGUAGCUGCGGUCCAAUUUAUGUGGGCGUGCGUGUGUGCCCAACGUGCAUCGCUCCGGCGAGGCCCCGUCUCUACGACCUCUGCACCGCCGUCAUAGGUGUCGGGGUUGGGGAAGAGUGGGGCGACCGUGGAUCUUCGGUUGUGCGAUUCAGAUUAGAUGUGGGCAGAUCCGUUAAACGAUGGGGUGGAGUAGAUCAGGCCAGCACUAAAUCCCGGGCAUAGAUCUUGAAUCCUACAGUGGCUGUCUUAUAUCGAGUUGAGCUUAGAUCUGGACUGCGGAUGUCCGAUCGAACAACGCUGAUCAGACGAAGUCUACCGGUUCGCCUAGAUCUAAUCAGUGCCCUAAAUUCUAGAUCGGGCGGCUGAGAUAAACCAGUACCCCUUUAGCUCGGCCAGUUUGCUAAAGAGCCCCUGUGGAAAUUGUGAAUUAACCCGCAGUCCAUCCCUAUAUUAGGAUCGUUACAUAAUUGUCCAAACAUUUGUAAAAGUAACCUUGCGCUCUUAUAAAAUUGUGGCCGCAACCCACUGGUCUCGGUUAGUUGGUAAUAAUUAAUUUAAAAAAGAUAUUUGAUAUAGAAAUAAAUCUAGAAAUCUAUAAAAUUCAUGAUUCCUUUAUUUUAACUCCAAUUUAAUUCAUUCCAGUUGCAUUAAAUUUAUAAUAACAUUGUUUAUCAUCUGGUAACCUUAGUUUGUUAUGAAACCUAGAUAAAAAAUGCACUUAGUUUCUUUCAUAUCCAACACUUAAAUCUUCAGAAAACCAUAACUCUUUAACCGUAACUCUAAAUUUAGUGGUUCUCGAACCUAGGUUCUCGCUACAACGCAUAGAUCAUUAUUAUGCAGUUUGUUCUUAUGUUUAGUGUGAUGUUAAUUUUGCCUAUACCAUGUUUGUUUGUAUUGCUACGAAUAGCAGCAUGGUUGCAAAUCACUUGAAGACCAACUGAGUACCUGGGAGUCUCGAGUCUAAGGCAAGUUGUGCCCUUGAUCACUCUUCUUUACCUAAUAAUGUUCUGGUUAAUCACUGUGACAUGCUCAGGUUAAUUUGGUGGGACCUAAUAGGUUUCCCAAGCCUUGCAAACAUAUGAACUAUUGGGUAGAUUUGGUUUUGCUCUACCUGGUUUUGGGAAAUUAAUGUUAUACUGUGAUCAUGUUCCAAUUAUAUUGUUGUUUAAUUAUUGUUCAUGAAAAGAUUAUUGUGUCAAUUGGAACAUGGAGCUUAACUUGAGAUCACAGUGCUACCACAAGGGUGGAACUAGUGGAACUUUGGAAAGGCCUCGUUGUGCUACCCUGCCUCUCUUCCUCGCUAGAGGUGUAUGGGGUUUGAUCAACCCCGUGGAAAAUGGGUAACACGACUUGUGGGUAAAGAUGUGUAACCUCUAUAGAGUGUAAAACUGGUAUAUCUGUCGUGCUCACGGUCAAGAGCGACUCAUGACUCUCUCAUGAUUAAUUUAUGGAACUAAACUUAAUCUAUCAUAUGCAUUGCAUCACGAGUGUUAUUAUCAAUUGUGAUAUCUUAUUUAGUUGGGUUGGUAUCUACUUAUACCUAGUAACUGUUAAUAAAAUUUUGACCAACUUUAAAAGCAAUGCUCAGCUUUAACCAUCUCCUUUUGUAAGCCUUACACUUCACAUGAGCUCCCACCCUUGGUGAGUUCAUGAACAUUAUUCCCCGCAACUUGUUGAGCAAUGAACGUAUGUGAGCUCACCCUUGCUAUACUCACAUCCCCCCAGGUCAAGAACAGGUACCACUGGACGAGGCACAUGAAGGAUGCUGUGAUGAGUUCGUGAGUGGUCUAGGCUGUCGUCUCGCAGUCAACUUUGGGUUGCUGGAUCGUUGUCUUCGUAUGAUGUAAUUAUUUAACUAUUUUGUACAGAACUCCAUUAUAUAUUAAAGAUGUGACAUUCAUUUCUGUACCGUGAAUCAUCAUAUGUGUGAGACUUGAUCCUAGCACCCUUUGGUGAAGUUCGCGCCCGGGUUAUGGACCCCUUCAAUCCGGGUGUGACAUGCACAAUCGAAGGUGGACAAGGCGCCCUGUAUGUAUGACCAGAUGGGGCUGCACUACUUCAAAUCCUGCACCAUCAGGGGCAUGUAACACCCCGAGAUUCACAAAUACCCCAGAAUGCUACUAAACUACACAUCUAACAUUCAUAUAUAAAAUUUCGACAACAUCUCCUUUGAAAAUUGCACAAAUGGGGAAGCAACAAAAUAUAAAUAGAUAUCAUGAUAAGAAAACAUAAUAGACAUUAAUAAUCUGCUAGCAAUGGGAACACAACCAUAACGACAUGAACUGAAUUAACUAGUGCGCACGACUAGUUAAAAACAAACAUCCUUUGACAAGAAGUUUCUAAUUAAAUCAUGAUUGCGCCUAGGCAUCGUUAUUAUGAGAGUGAAGGUGGAUGUGCUGCUACUUCCCACUCUCCAUGAUGAGUAACAAACACCUGCAUUGAGUAAUGCAAGAGUGAGAUAAAACAUCUCAAAAAGCAAAUUGUUUUGACGAGAUAUUUAAACCACAAAUUGAAUUAAUCAACAUUCUAAAAGAAUCACAAAUCAGAUCAGAAAUACUUGUAGAUAUAGAACUCAGUAGUCCCAAUAUAACCAAUACCAUCUCAUUUCCGAGAACAACCACGAUAGGUUGUAUAACACUUCCCUGCGUCAACAAUACCUGCAAAUAUCACUCAAUGUAUGCACAGGAAUGCAAUGUGUAGGUCCCCUGUCUUCAUACCUCUGAGGGUAUAAAACCACAUCAUCUGCAAAUGUCACUUCAAUGAAUUCAUAUGAAUGCAAUGCAUAUGUCCUCUGCCUUCAUACCUCUAAGGGUAUGAAGCCGCAUCGUACCCCUCCUCGGGCAACUUACGAUGCUAAGUUGUACAGGUACGGUCGGACCAUAGGUCACGACAAAACUUCAGAUGCAAAUGAGUCAUGCAAUGUAUAUGGCAUGCUGCAUUUAUUAAUAAACUACACUUCCUUCAGAUACAAUACAAACCUCAAUUAAUACUUCAUCUACCUUUAGAUACAAUACAAACCUCAAAUAAUACUUCAUCUGCCUUCAAAUACAAUACCAACCUCAAAUAAUGCUUCAUCUGCCUUCAGGGGUGUGAAUUAAUCUCAUGGGUCGUACUCGAACCAUAAUCAUCAUCAAUAUAUGAUAGAGCAUCAAUAUAAUACAAACAAGUAAAACAUCAUCUUAUAGUUCAAUUAUGAAAGAAUCCAAUAAUUCUGAAUAUUAGAGUGUAGGCGAUAGAAGUAACAGGUCAAAACGGUAGCAACCACCGCUACAUUCACUUGCCUUCAUCGAAGAAGAAAAAUGUACUAGGCAUGAUAUGGAGUGUAGCCACCUGCUAGCGCGCAUAAAAUUUAGUACAAAUAUUUCCCAAACAUUUGCCAACAAUCAACAAUUCGCUCCUACACUGGAAACCAAUACCUGGUGGAAAGACUCCCACCCUGAACCACAUGCCACACGACAGCAGCGCUAUUUGUUAAUUUUGUAUCUUUAAAAUUAUAAUAGUGGUGAUAUCAAACAAAUACUCUAGGAGUAUCUACACAAAAUACUCUACAACUUUGGUAUUCAGUAGAUAAUUAAAUUCAGCCAUCUAUAAGUUUUAAAGCAUCUGACAAGAUAACUGACUGAAUCUGUUUCAGGCAGCAGCAUAGUUAACUUAAAAAUUCGUUAUCUCCCAAACUACUCAACCAAAAAAUAUGCAAUUCUGCUGGCAGUGAAGACUUUUAUCGCUCUACAAAAGUCUCCAUAGUUGGAAGAGCCAAUUCGGCCAUUUAUUAGAUGAAACCGACGAGUGAACUGACCCUCUCAUUUUUGUCAGGCAAACAGGAACAGCCACAGUAAAACAAACAUAACUGGAGUUUCAAAAUUCAUAUGAAUGCACUAUUUAACAAUCUGGAAAUCUUAUGAAAUUAUCUACAACUUAUUUUACCAACCUAAAGUUUAAUUCUGUUUAUUAAAUUGCCUAAAUCUUAAUAGAACAGAUUCUGCACAGAAUUGUGAGACUAAAAAACUGCUAUAAUCAAACUGCAAUAACUUUCUGAUCUGAUGUCCGAUUGGGGUGUUCUUUAUGGCCACGGAAAGAUCUACAAAUUAUCUACGACUCAUAGAUAGACAUUUUAUUUUUUUGAUGCCAGUAAGAGCAUGAAAAACUGGUAUGAACAGAAACUGUCGAAUCUGCCAUUCUGCAGAAACUAAUUUCGAGAUCAAAAACUAACCCCCCAUCUAAUCCAACCUCUAAUCAUUCAAUCCCCAUGAUUCACAACCCCCAAAACACAUAAUUACAGGGAGGAACAUGGAUCUUAUCCUUACCUAAGGUUUCCCCAAGAAAAAUUGCAAGAAGAUAUGGGGUAGAACAUCUCCUUGAUCCUCUCUUCCUCUUCAUUUCAACGUGCUCCUCCUCUUCUCGAUCCUUGCUGUGUGGGAGGAGAUCUAGAGGGAGGAGGAAGUCGUGGAGAGGGUAUAGGGCGGCUGCAAAUGGGGAGGAGAGGAAAAGGGAGGGGGCGUCUGCAACAAUUGGGGAGAGGGAGAGGGGUCGGCUAGAGUUGGGGAGGAGAGGGGGGGCUCCCAUCCAUCGGAUCGAGAUCAAUGGCCCGAACUCGCUCUCCCAUCUGAGCUCCUGACCCCAGCGGAAAAAAAUGUCAAAACAUCUACUGUUUCCGUGAACAACAAGGGCACCAUUGACUUCAUCUUUGGCUCUGCCAAGUCCUUUUACGAGGACUGCGCCAUUGUUUCCGUGAACAACAAGGUGGAGAUCAUGACCUUGCCUGUGGCGCCACCUCAACUUGACAUUUACGACAAUCCAAUCAAGGUUGCCCUAGGGGAGGGCGGCUUCUCCUUCAAGACAUGUACCAUCACCGAGAAAGGCCAACAAAUCUUCCUCGAGAGGAUGGGCACGCCUUCCAUCUAAUCCAACACCUAGAUUUCUAAGGAGGUUGUGCCCAUAAUAUACGACAAAGGGACCAUCUCCAUGCCUAGUAAUAUGUAUGGCGACUCAUGCAUGCAGCAGAAUCUCUCUCCCUCUCUAUAUACAUACUUGUUAUCUCAUAUCUAUGCAGAACUAGAAGACGUCGUGCCACUUUCAAGUGCUAUGAGUCUGGGUUGGAGAAAAUAUGGCACCUCAAAUUUAAGUACGCUGAAGCCAUAUACUUUUUUGGGACAGAAUUUUUUCACUGAAGAUUCAUGGAUCCUGUCCAAACCACCUACUGAUGCUAAAACAUUGAUGUCUGUUUAAAGAUAUAGAAUCCUCAAAGAUCACCAAAGAUCAUCAUCUACCACUAAUUAAUAACGAACCAAAUUAGAUACAUUUUGCAUUUACAUUUUGUCCUUAUCUAUAAAUUAUGCAUGCUGCUGUAAACAAGUUGUAGAUGGGCUUCAUUUGUUCUCGAGAAUGAAAAAUAACAAAUAAACAAAGCAAACAAGAGGAUGAACCAGAAGUCUGGUUCGGCAAGAAAGAAGAAGGAAAGACGAUAUUGAGCAUGUGAUACUUGUGAAUCAUAUGUAUAAACUUCGUGGGCGUACUUGUAAUUUCAUACGAAGUUGUACCUCUCGCCUAUAAACAGAGUAACAUUGUCAUGCAUAAACUCACCUUUCGAGAGCUCAAAGCUUCAUUUAGCUUAGCCUUCGAAGUACCUUUCAUCUAUCACUUGUGUGAAGCUGAAGGUAUGUUUGUAAUUGUUUGUUAUAUUGCAAGGAAUGAAAUAAUAAGUGUGGAAGCAUGAAGAUGAGUAACAUGUCUUGGUUGUAAUUGUUUACAUUUCAUCCUUGUUAAUAUAUAAGCAUUUGUGCCCCUUCGUCUUCUCUCUUGAAUUAACCUUCGAAGAAGCAUUAAUUGAAGGGAGAAGUUUAUGGUUUAAUAACUUGUGUUGGCUUAUUUUUGAUGUCCUAUAGCAAUCAAAAGCAAGCGACCAAUAGUGGAUAUGGCUAGCAAGUGGCCAGCGCCAUCAGCAUGGACCCUAUGUUUGUGUGUAUGAAUCACAGUAGCGCGAUUGGGGAAGGAGGCUUGACGGUUGUAAGUGCAAUCAACCCAUUUGAGGGUUUUGGUGGUUAUAUGACAAAACAAAUAAAGUACCUAAUAAGUUGCUCCUAGUAUAUGCUGAGUUAUUUCAAAGAUAGGAGCAGUACAAACAUUAAUUUCAAACAAAAAUAGAACACAAAUUGGCUAAGUACUUCAAAUCAUAUGGCGUGUUUGCAACGACUGAUUCAAAGUAUAUAUUUCUUGAGUUGUAGGAAUCAUCAUACAACUAAGAAGGAUCCACAAAGGUAAUGGUGUUUGCAAAGCUCAAGUUUCUCUGUUUCUAAAGCUUAUUUAAAAAAACAAGUCUUUGGACCUUUCGUGCGAGUCCAACUGGUUCGUGGUUUUGUUGUUGGACGUCCGCUCUGGUCAAAGGCUUAGCUCAACUCGCCCAAGCCAGUGGAGCUCUCUGCUCAAAACAGGUUGAACUAUCUAGGAUGGAUCAAUCGAGUUUGCACCAUAGACCUCUUUGCUCAAACCCGAUUGAGCCAGCCCCUAGGAGAUGUUCAACCACUAUCUCAACGGUUGAUCGUUUUGCCAAACCUUGUAGCACAGUCUGGCAGCCCUGUUGCAUAGGCGGUUGAACCAGCCCGCUAGGGGCGGUUCAACUAUCCCUCGGUCAGAGGACCGUUCUGCAAAGUCUUACUAAAUAGGCAGUUGAACUGGCCCUUAGAGGCAGUUCAACUAGGGUAGGAUGAUUGAAAUCCCCAAUUGAGUUGGCUUGUUGAACCAAGUUUAGUUCUGCUAAAAACCAGUUCAAUUGGCUUUGGGUGUAGUUCAACCGCAUUUCACGCAAAAAGUUCAAAUAGUCAACUCCAUUUGAGAGGCCCCUAUAUAUACCCUCUCCUCUCACUCUUCCCCUCAGUUACUCCGGCUAACCAACUUAAUUGUUCACCAAACUUGAGACAAAAGCUCUAACUUUUCUCUCACACCACAACUCUCCCUCGUCGAUGUUUGAGACUAAAACCAGUUCAACUGAUUGAAGAAGCCUUGGUAUGAGGUUUGAGUUCUUUGAUUUUAGACUUGGUUUUUGUUCUCCCUCCUCUUUAUCCAUCCCUUGAGCUUGUUGCAAACACCCUCUUGUGUGGAUUUUUACUCUUAGAACCUCGUGUUCCAUGACGGUUGAGGUUGCUUGGGAGUCUUUGAAUUUGUGGAUGAUCCAAAGAAGUUUGUAUCACCUGCUCUUUGAUUAAGUUUGAGAAAGUGGUUGCAUGGACAUUGGUGGUCGGCCUGUGAAGGACUAGGUUUGGGAUUAGGGCACCUCAAUGGGGAUUAGGGCACCUUUGUGGUGUGGCCGAACCUUGCCAUAAAUCUCAUGUAUUUGUGUUGUUGCUUUUUUCAUCCGCUGCACUUUAUCUUUGUCAAGCAAGACAUCGAACGAUUUGUUGUGUGUGUGGAUUUUCACUUAGAUUAUACCUUGUGUUCUUCGAUUAAAAGAAUGUCUCAUUAUACUUCGUGGUGUUCUUAGCCUAGAUCUAUUCUCUCAAUUGGACUAGUUCAACAGCCCCUAGUAGCGGUUGAAUCGGCCUACACUAAACUAUUGAUUUGACAUCAUUUCCAAGCUUUUGUUGAAUUUUUCAUGUGUAGCCUAUUUACCCCCUUCUAGGCUACUUUCAAUGGUGAAAAUAGUGAAGUUCUAUAUGGAGCUCACUGGCUAUUCAGUGUAAUGUCUGAAUCAAAAUCGACACAUUCUAUCACAAACUAUUCCCGCCAAGAAAAAAGUGUAGCGCCAAUAAAUCUAUGAGGUAAUAUUUGUUAAAUAGCACCAUUUAGUCCAAUGUUGGUUAUGGAACCAAUUCCUAUAAUGAUGAAACCCAUGUGAGAUGCGGAGGAGUAGGCUAUUCUUUUUUUUAAAAAAAAUUCAACGACCAAGAGAGGUUGAAACUGCAUAGAUUAUUUGCACUGCUCCUAUUAUUACCAACCAAGGGUAAAAUAAACAAUGAACAUGUGGUAACAAUUCCAUAUUGACGCGAAUCAAUCCAUAUGCUCCCAUCUUCAACAGAAUUCUGGCUAAAAGCAUACAUGUUCUGUAAUGUGCUUCCCGAUGGGUGUCUUGUAACCAAGUAUGUUAAGCUAUAAUCAGCAAUUUGAUACCAUAAGCAAUAAGGAAAAAAUAAUACAGAGUCGUUUUUGUGGAUUUUGACUAAUAAUUAUUAUUGCACAGACUUAGAGUGGCUCAUAGAAAAAGUUUAAUUCUAUUUAGAACAUGUUCAAUUAGUUAACAAAUUUUCGCUUAAUUUGAAGUACUUUUUCCUUUAAUAAAUAAAUAACAUAAUGGAAGUAAUAAAAUAAUUAAUUUGUUGUGCUGGUUUUGGGACUUCAUGAAUUCCAUUGAUCCCAAACACCUAAGUUGAUCCAUGGCAUAUGCAUAAUGUUGUCUAGAACCCUACUUAACUUGAUUAGCGAAAUAAUUAGGGUUUUAUCAGAAAUCGAAUGCAACUUUACUGUGAAGGAAAGUUGUACUCAAGGUUUUGUCGUUUUAGAUUAUUUAUCUUGCACCUAUGUUCAUUCCAUCAUCACAUCAUGAUCAUAUCAUGCAACUUUACUUUACACGUAGAUUAUGUUACGACGAAUCAGUCAUAUUGUGAAGUAAUUCCCUUAGCCUUGUCUUCACUCAAUGGAACUAUUGGGUUUUCUUGGUCAUCUACUCUACACUACAACUAAUGCAAGCCCUAGUGCAUUCAACCCUGUUCCUUGUGUUUUAUAAAACAAGUAUCCUAAAUAUUAUGCUUGAUGCAUUUAAGUUAGUAGGAAUUGGUUGAAUACUCGUUGUUGCAUGACUACCCUGGAAUUUCAAUACCUGUUCUUGUUACCGCUUUUGAAAAUGUUGUAAUCUAGAGGUGUAGCCUUGCAUAGCUCUAGAAGAUAUGGUUAACUUUGAAUUCUAUAAAGGCUCCCCAUUCUCCAACCCCUCAUAAAUCACUUCUCAUACUAUUUGCCAAACAAUUUUUGUUAGAUAAGUUCACUUCUGUUAGAGAAUCCCUCAGAAUCGCUCUAUUAGAGAAUCAACUCUCUGAGCUACAGAAUCAUGGAGUAGAGCUCUAUCAAACGAGGACUUUUGAAACAAAAACCUAAACUCAUUUGUUGUAAUAGUAUUUUGAAAUAUAACUUUGAAAAUUUGGUUUUGAAAAAAGAGAAAAAAGCCUUUUGGAGAUUUAGUUGAUGUUUUUGAAACUCUUUCUCCACAUAGUGAAAUUAAUGAAAAGGCAAGAAAUCCAAAAACAUAUAUGUAUCAAAUUAUAGGAAUUCUACAAAAUUCCAUAUAAUUCUCAAACAAACUAGCUAAACAAAUGUAUAAAACCUUUUAUAAAAAUAAUAGAAAUUUAGUUAGUGUUGUCUAUUGAAAUUGCAAGAUGAUAACAUUGGUUCUACUAGGAUUAUGCGCAAAGCUCUAACUUUUUCUCUCACACCCCAACUCUCUCCCUCGUCGAUGUUUGAGGCUAAAACCAGUUCAAUUGAUUGAAGGAGCCUUGGUGUGAGGUUUGAGUUCUUUGAUUUCAGACAUGGUUUUUGAUCUCCCUCCUCUUUAUCCAUCCCUUGAGCUUGUUGCAAACACUCUCUUGUGUGGGUUUGUUACUCUUUGAACCUCGUGUUCCAUGACGGUUGAGGUUGCUUAGGAGUCUAAAUUUGUGGACGACCCGAAGAAGUUUGUAUCACAUGCUCUUUGAGCAAGUUUGAGAAAGUGGUUGCAUUGACCUUGGUGGUCAGCCUGUGAAGGGCUAGGGCUGGAAAAGACCGGGCCGUAUGUGGGCUGCUCAACAGGGAUUAGGGAACCUUUGUGGUGUGGCCGAACCUUGGCAUAAAUCUCGUGUAUUUGUGUUGUUGCUUUGUUCAUGCGCUGCACUUUAUCUUUGUUAAGAAAGACAUCGAGCGAUUCGUUGUGUGUGUGGAUUUUCACUUAGAUUAUGCCCUGUGUUUUUCGAUUCAAAGAAUCUCUCAUUAUACUUCAUGUUGUUCUUAGCUAGAUCUAUUCUCUCAACUGGACUAGUUCAACAGCCCCUAGUAGCGUUUCAACCGGCCUACACUAAACUAUUGAUUUGACAUCAUUUCCAAGUUUUUGGUGAAUUUUUUAGGUGUAGCCUAUUUACCCCCUUCUGGGCUACUUUCAAUGGUGAAAAUAGUGAAGUUUUAUAUGGAGCUCACCGGGUGUUCACUGUAAUGUCUGAAUCAAAAUCGCCACAUUCUAUCACAAGCCAUUCCCACCAAGAAAUCCAUGAGAUAAUAUUUGUAAAAUAGCAUCAUUUAGUCCAAUGUUGGUUAUGGAACCAAUUCCUAUAAUUAUGAAACCCAUGUGAGAUGCAGAGGAGUAGGCUAUUCUUUUUUUUAAAAAAAUCAAUGACCAAGAGAGGUUAAAACUGCAUAGAUUAUUUGCACUGCUCCUAUUAUUACCAACCAAGGGGAAAAUAAACAAUGAGCAUGUGGUAACAAUUCCAUAUUGAACCUUAUCAAUCCAUAUCCUCCCAUUUUAAUAGAAUGCUGGCUAAAAGCAUACAUGUACUGUAAUGUGCUUCCCGAUGGGUAUCUGGUAACCAAGUAUGUUAAGCUAUUAUCGUCAAUUUGAUACCAUAAGCAAUAAGGAAACCAAAAUACAAAGCCGUUUUCGUGGAUUUUGACUUAGAUUUAUUAUUGCACAGACUUAGAGUAGCUCAUAGAAAAAGUUUGAUUCUAUUUAGAACAUGUUCAAUUAGUUAACAAUGUUUUCCUUAAUUUGAAGUACUUUUUCCUUUAACAAAGAAAUAACAUAAUAGAAGUAAUAAAAUAAUUAAUUUGUUGUGCUGGUUUUGGGAUUGUAUGAAUUCCAUUGAUCCCAAACACCUAAGUUGAUCCAUGGCAUAUGCAUAAUGUUGUCUAGAACCCUACUUAACUUGAUUAGCGAAAUAAUUAGGGUUUUAUCGGAAAUCAAAUGCAACUUUACUGUGAAGGAAAGUUGUACUCAAGGUUUUGUCGUUUUAGAUUAUUUAUCUUGCACCUAUGUUCAUUCCAUCAUCACAUCAUGAUCAUAUCAUGCAACUUUACUUUACACGUAGAUUAUGUUACGACGAAUCGGUCAUAUUGUGAAGUAAUUCCCAGAGCCUUGUCUUCACUCAAUGGAACUAUUGGGUUUUCUUGGUCAUCUACUCUACACUACAACUAAUGCAAGCCCUAGUGCAUUCAACCCUGUUCCUUGUGUUUUAUAAAACUUUUACCCUAAAUAUAAUGCUUGAUGCAUUUAAGUUAGUAGGAAUUGGUUGAAUACUCGUUGUUGCAUGACUACCCUAGAAUUUCAAUACCUGUUCUUGUUACCGCUUUUGAAAAUGUUGUAAUCUAGAGGUGUAGCCUUGCAUAGCUCUAGAAGAUAGGGUUAACUUUGAAUUCUAUAAAGGCUCCCCAUUCUCCAACCCCUCAUAAAUCACUUCUCAUACUAUUUGCCAAACAAUUUUUGUUAGAUAGGUUCACUUCUGUUAGAGAAUCCCUCAGAAUCGCUCUAUUAGAGAAUCAACUCUCUGAGCUACAGAAUCAUGGAGUAGAGCUCUAUCAAACGAGGACUUUUGAAACAAAAACCUAAACUCAUUUGUUGUAAUAGUAUUUUGAAAUAUAACUUUGAAAAUUUGGUUUUGAAAAAAGAGAAAAAGCCUUUUGGAGAUUUAGUUGAUGUUUUUGAAUCUCUUUCUCCACAUAGUGAAAUUAAUGAAAAGGCAAGAAAUCCAAAAACAUAUAUGUUUCAAAUUAUAGGAAUUCUACAAAAUUCCAUAUAAUUCUCAAACAAACUAGCUAAACAAAUGUAUAAAACCUUUUAUAAAAACAAUAGAAAUUUAGUUAGUGUUGUCUAUUGAAAUUGCAAGAUGAUAACAUUGGUUCUACUAGGAUUAUGCGCAAAGGUAGCGACUUAUUCAAUCCAUAAGAACUUUAUUUAGCAUAUAUCAUCUAUAUAUAGGAGUCGCGCGGUUGGACGUUAUAUGAAUCACCUUGGAUCGAAUAAAACCAAUUAUUUGUUUUAUUUUUCCAUCGCUUAUAUAUAUAUGCACCAGAGAUUUUUGUGUUACCCUUGCAUAUAUGCAUGCAUGCAUGUGGAAUGAAUCCAAGUCUAAAAUUAGGCGCCUAAUGGUGACCUUCCAUAUAUUAGACACCUUAAUUAUUUGAAUUGGAUUUUGGAUGCAAACUAGCUUAUUAGCUAUCUAUAUAUAACAAGAUUAAAGAAGAAGACAGACAACCUAAUUAAAGAAUUUGAGGAGAGAAAGAGAGAAAGAGUGAUCGUCAUGGAGAGCAGGAGGAAGAAUCAACAGAAGACGAGCUACAUUGUAAUUUCCAUCCAGCUCCUAGCGGCCCUCCUACUCUUGGAGCUUGUGUCGCUAGUGCCGGGGGCGUCAUGCGAGGAGUUGCCCUUGGAUUUUUGGGUGAGUGCACUACGGGGGGUCGGGGCAAAGGACGUUUCAACAGCCGAUGGAUGCACCAAGAAGAAUAAGGACACCAUGCUCUGCUCUGCCCAGGCUAACACAGUAACCAAUUUCAUCAACCCUACCAACUCUGAGGAACAAGGCUAUAGGACCAUCGGGAGUCCAUCGCUAACAUCCCUGAUGAUAGCACCAAACGGUACAUCCUCAUCCUCAGCGGUGGCACCGUGUACCGAGAGAAGGUAUUGGUGAGCAAAAGCAAGCCAUUCGUCACCAUAAGAUCAGAUGACCCCAUCAACCCUGCCAUCAUUGUGUGGAACGACACUGCCGCCACCCUGGGGAAGGAUAGCAAGCCCCUUGGAGUAGAUGGUAGUAGCACCAUGACCGUAGAGUCCGACUACUUCAUUGCCUAUGGUGUCGUCUUUAGGAAUGAUGCUGCAGCAGCAGCGAAGAAGAAGAAGGCAGAAGGCGAGGCGCCAGCGUUGCGGGUGCUAGGAACAAAGGCAACCUUCUACAACUGCACAAUUGAAGGUGGACAAGGCGCCCUGUAUGACCAGAUGGGGCUGCACUACUUCAAGUCCUGCACCAUCAGGGGCACCAUCGACUUCAUCUUUGGCUCUGCCAAGUCCUUUUAUGAGGACUGCACCAUUGUUUCCGUGAACAACAUGGAGGAGAUCAUGACCUUGCCUGUGGCACCACCUCAACUUGACAUUCACGACAAUCCAAUCAAAGUUGCCCCAGGGAAGGGAGGCUUCUCCUUCAAGACAUGUACCAUCACCGGGGAAGGGCAACAAAUCUUCCUCGGAAGGAUGGGCACGCCUUCCAUCUACUCCUACACCCAGAUUGCUAAGGAGGUUGUGCCCAUAAUCUACGACAAAGGGAACAUCUUCAUGCCCAGUAAUAUGUAUGCCGACCCAUGCAUGCAGCAAAAUCUCUCUCUCUCUCUUUAUAUAUAUAUACACUUGUUAUCUCAUAUCUAUAUCUAUGCAGGACUGGUAGACGCUGUGCCACUUUCAAGUGCUAUGGACCUGGGUUAGAGAAAAUAUGGCACGUCAAACUUAGAUACGCUGAAGCCAUAUACUUUCUUGGGACAGAUUUUAUCAACGGAGAUUCAUGGAUCCUGUCCAUACCACCUACUGAUGCUGAAACAUUGCUAUCAGUUUGAAUAUAUAGAAUCCUCAGAGAUCAUCAAAGAUCAUCAUCUACCACUAAUUAAUAAUGACCCAAAUUAAAUAAGUUUUGCGUAUAUAUUUUAUCCCUAUCUAUAAAUUAUGCAUGUGUUGUAAACAAGUCGUGGAUGGGCUUCAUUUGUUCUCGCGAUUGAAAAAUAACAAAUAAACAAAGUAGAAAAGAGGAUGAACCAGAAGUCUUGUUCAGCAAGAAGGAAGGAGGAAUGACGAUAUUUCCCAUGUGAUACUUGUAAAUCAUAUGUGUAAACUUCGUGGGCGUACUUGUAAUUUCAUACGAAGUUGUACCUCUCGCCUAUAAAUAGAGUAACAGUGUCAUGCAUAAAUUCACCUUUCGAGAGCUCAAAGCUUCAUUUAGCUCAGCCUUCGAAGUACCUUUGAGCUAUCACUUGUAUGAAGCCGAAGGUAUGUUUGUAAUUGUUUGUUAUAUUGCAAGGAGUGAAAUAAUAAGUGUGGAAGCAUGAAGAUGAGUAACAUGUCUUGCUCGUAACUGUUUACAUUUCAUCCUUGUUAAUAUAUAAGCAUUUGUGCCCCUUCUUCUUCUCUCUUCAAUUAACCUUCGAAGAAGGAUUAAUUGAAGGGAGAAGUUUAUGAUUUGAUAACUUGUGUUGGCUUGUUUUUGAUGUCCUGUAGCAAUCAAAAGCAAGCGACCAACUAUGUCUAUGGCCAGUGCCAUCGGCCUGGACCCUAUGUUUGUGCGUGUGAAUCGCAGUAGUGCGAUUGGGGAAGGAGGCUUGAUGGUUGUAAGUGCAAUCAACCCAUUUGAGGGUUUUGGUGGUGAUAUGACAACAAAUAAGGUAUCUAAUAUGUUUGCUCCUAGUAUAUGUGUAACACCACAAAAACCAUCAACUAAAAAUAAUGCAUUUAGAUUAUUAGUGGUAAUAAUAUGGUAAUGAUUUUUUCUUUCAAGUGUUUGAUUUUUAUUUGCAUUUACGGGGUGUUUGGGUCCCUUCAUUUUAGAGGAAUUGGAAUUCACUCAAUAUCCACCACUUUCCAAAGUUCAGAUAUAAGCUUAUCCCAAAUUCAUGGGGUGGAGAAUGGGAAAUGAUUUUAUGCAUUAGUAGAAUUUGUUUCUACUCUAUAACUUACAUGACACUCUUCGUCUCACUCCUCUAUAGUAAAAAUAUAGCACAUAAAUAUCUCUGACAUCUUGCUAAUAAUAGUAUACAAAUAUAUUUUGUAUAAAACCAAAUUAGCUUAAUUGAUAUAUGCCUAAAUUACUAUUAUUAGUAAAAAUAUAGCACAUAAAUAUCUCCGACAUCUUUCAAGUGUUUGAUUUUUAUUUGCAUUUAAAGUAAUUUUGUUUGCUCAUAUUUGAUUUAUGGAUGCUUAGUAGAAUUUCUUUUAUAUUGAGAAUCCAAUCAAUUAAUAUAGAAGUAUUGGUCCAACAAUAAAUAUUUUAGUUAUAAAUAAUUUUGAAAUAAUUAUUAUGAUUUUUUUGAAUUAUUUAAAAAUAUAUUUACUUAUAUUUUUAAAUAGAAAAGAAAACAAAAGAAAAAAAACCGAAAACCCUAAACCUAACCGGCCAUUUCGGCCCAUCAGGCCCAUCAGCCGCCGCUUCCCUAUUUCCUCCUCCCCAUCUCUCACCGACCAGUGGGGCCCACCCAGGGCCCCUCUCCUUUGUCUCCCUCCCGUGCCCGGCCGAGCCGCGCCGUGCGCCACGCCUGCGCCUCGACGUCCGCGCCAGUCCGUUUCCCCGAACCGAAAACCGCCCGCGCUGUUUCCCUCUCUCUCCCUCCCCCACUUCCCUCUCCUUCAAGCCGGUAACGGCCGAGUUAUUAGCUGCUGCCAUUGAUGGCGUUCAUGGCCGACCAUCUAUCUCUCUCCCCGCUCGGCUCUCCCUCUCAUCCCCUCUCUAUAAAACCCGCCCGAGCUCCCACCUCUCUCCCUACCCGAGCUCUCUCCCUCACUCAUCGUGCUCUCUCACCCUCACCGAAACGCCGACCGCCUGAGCCUUACCGUCUGCGCCCGCUCGCUGUCGAGCCUUGCUGUCCACGCCUCGCCCCGCCUCGGACGCGCUCGUUCCCUACCCGACCGAGACCACGCGCGCCCUGCUCCCCUGCUCGCCGAGCUCCAUCCCUACGCGUGAGCAAGAGCUCAAGGUAGAAGAAGCACAUUUUGCAUUUUAGUCCCUACGUGUAAAUAAAAUUAUUUCUAAGAUUUUCAGUUUAGAAACUAUUGAAAAGAGACCCGAUGUAUACGCUAAAUCAUGAACUAGCCCCUGCAACAAUAUUUUGACACGAGUAUUAUUUUACAUUUCAAAAAUAAAUAAUUUCACUAUUCACUAACUUGGUGAUUUAAAUAUUAGAAAUGUUGGUGCUUAGCAACCCUACUUGAAAGAUGGGCAACAGGGGUGGCAAUGGUUUGGUGGCAGCUCAUGUUAACAUGGGGUGGUAGUCUUGGCUAAGUUACCUCACCUAGAGGGCCAUCAAUACUGAUGUGGAAACCUUAGCGGGUGGCUUUGUACUAAGGAUAUUUUGUGAAAGCCUCAUAAUGGAUCCCUAGCUGUCACACCCAGUUUUGGAAGGUAAACCGAAUGCGAACCAUGUACGUGCCAGGAUCAGAACUCAUGUACACAGCGAUUACAUAAUUGGACAUCAUCACACAAUCCUUGAAUUAAAUAGCAAAGGUACUUAGUUACAUCAAGAUGUCUAAGACAUCCACAGAGUCUAUUACAUAAACAUAAUGUUCAACAUUAAAUCAAAGCGUGGAGUAUCGAAACAUAGAAGAUAAGCCUACACAGGCAACUAACUGGGGUUUUCCACUAAAGUAAACUAGAACUCGUCGUUUUCCUGGAACUCCUCAAAGUCAUCCAUGUUGCCAACUUCACCUCCUGAGCACUGAGAACAGUGGGGACAACCUGGGGUGGGGUGGUUUGUAAAGCAAGGGUGCGUACACAUCAACGUACUUAGCAAAUGUCUCGUUUGGCUAAGGUGGACUAGCGGUAUGUGGAGUUAAGGUUAAACAGUUGCUUUUAGUUGGUCAAGUUUUAUUAUUAUAAGUAGAGCCAAGUUUUAGUAAUAACCCAGUUAUUACCCAAAGGCACUCCCUCCAAGAGGAAAUACCAGAGAUCAGGAUUAUAAUUAUCAUUGUUAAUCAUCAUCAUAAAAGUAACCAUUGUUCUUCUAAUCGAAGAGGAUCCCAAGGCUGCUCAUAACCGUGAGCACGACUAAUAUACCAGUUUCUAACACUCUGCAGAGGUUGCACACUUUACCCACAAGCCGUGAUUCCCAUUCUGCCCGGGGUUCUAGCCUCCCCAUUGAACACUAACAAGGUGACCUAGCAGGGUCUCACUAUGUAGCCUUUAUAAAGAUUUCCUAGAGGUCAUAGCCGCCUGUUAGGUUUCUCCAUUUUGAUAAACACAGUACAUCUCCCCAAAGGAAGGGUGACUAACAAAACCAAAUCAAAGAACCUCUGCAACCAACCUCGGCAGAGAAAGUACUGUGCCUGGACCCCAUUGACGGCCCUACGGUGAAGCCAACUACUCCUCUGGUUCCUCUAAUUAAUCAGCUAAGGGCGUCCCAUUCCACCCUCAUGGUUGCAGUGUUAUCCCGGGUUGUCACUCCCCAAACAGGUCCUUACGGAGAGGUACUCAGAAAAGAGCCUAAGCCCCCUAAAGUAAUCACAAGGACCCCAUCGGGAUAACAUCAUCGUAUCAUAAAAGAUCACAUCAUGUUCAUUGAUUAAGUUUAAGCAAUAGCAUAAGCUAACCAUGAUUAACCCAAAAAGGUAAACAAGGGUAAGGGAAAUACAAACUAGUCAAUCCUUAGGUUUCAAUAAAGUAAUGCGGGACAAUGAAUUACAAAGUAGAGUAGGACAUGAUAGGUCUGAGGACACUUGCCUUCACCAGGUUUUUGCUCAGAGGGAUCUUCGGCAACACACUCACGAACCAUGAGCUGCUCGUUGUCUAAGUAAAGCGAGCAUACAUUCAAUACAUUUGGUAGGUAAAAAUGAACAUCACAUCACACAUGAACAAAUAUUGGCACACAACUCAAGAAGGUACAUUAUUAAGUACAGAGGAAUGAGGUCAAGUUAUAAAAAUGGACUAAUCCUAAUUGGGGAAUUGAUUACUCUCUAAAUGUUUGGAACAUAGCUCAAAAAGGUUAAGUAGUGAUUAAAACAAAUGAAAGCUAGAAUUAUAAGAUAAACUAAUCUCAUUUAGAAAUUUGAUUAUCUUUUAAGUAUUAUCCAUAAUUACAUUCCUAAUUCUAUUUAUGUCAUUAAGACCUAGAGGUUAAGACAAAAAAAUAUCCAAGUAAUGCAUAACACUAAUCUCACAAGAUUGAAUAUACUUUAUUCCUAGGGUUCUCCUUUUAUUUAUUUCAUUAAAUAAAUAAAUCAAAAGAUACUUUAAUUCUAUAUUCUAAGUGUAAAAAUUAAAGUGUACAUAUUACAGUUGGUCAUAUUUUAUUUGAACAGAGAAUAAUUUGGUGAACAUUUUGUAAUUUGAACCACUAAAUUUGGAGUUCAUAUGAAAAAGAUAUGAAAUAAACAAGUUUUGAAGUUUGAAAUAUGAAAUUAGGGCUAAAUCUGUGAUUAAAUAAAAGUCCAGGGGUCUAAUUAAAACAAACCAGGGACCUAUGCCCUUAAACAGAGGACGAUGGGUUGAUUUCCUAAAACCAGGGGGUUUCUUAAGCAAAACAGCCACGCGAAGGGGUAUCGGGCUCCCUCAACCGUUGGAUCAGAAACCGACGGCUGAGAUUAGAUCGCGCAGGCGCGGGCGCGGGCGCGCAGGCGCGGAUGACAAGCGGGGCUAGGGCCGUCAAUGGCAGAGGGGGAGGGCGCAAUAAUCAAGCGGGCCCAGCUCCAGAGGACUUGGGCGCUGACAGGCGAGCCAGGGCAUCAGGCACGCGUGCGCGAAGCGUUAUCCGUGGUCCGAGGCGUUCGAUCUAAAUCGGACGGAGGGGACCAGACCAGGGGGAAACAGACGGCUGCUGGCGGCGCCGCUCCUCUCCGUGGCGUUGAGGUGAAAGGGAAAUGUGCCCUUGGGCCAUUUCUAAGUAUUUUGGUGAUUGAGUGCCAACACAAGUGCUUAAGUGUUAGAGUAUCCCAUGUGAUGGACAAAGUGCAAAUCAAAAGUAAAGGUAUGUUUCUAGACUUAGUACAUUGUUUUAUGGACUAAUGUAUUGUGUCUAAGUGCUGGAAACAGGAAAAAUCAAGUUGGAAAAGAGAUGGCUUUGUUCAGCCAAAGUCUGCUCAGUCUUGGUGCACCGGACUGUCCGGUGGUGCACCGGACAGUGUCCUGUGGUGCACCGGACAGUGUCCGGUGCACGAGGCUGGCUCUGGUGAACUUGCUGCUCUCGGGACUUCGACGGACAGUCCGGUGGUGCACCGGACUGUCCGGUGAGCCGUUCACAUGCGAAGUCGUCGCUCUCGGGAAGUGAUUAACGGCGUACGACUAAAAAUCACCGGUCUGUCCGGUGGUGCACCGGACUGUCCGGUGAGCCAACGGUCAGCCGGGCCAACGGUCGGCCGAGGAUUCCGCGCAUGACGCGUGGCCGAGCCAACGGUCACAUUGGAGCACCGGACUGUCCGGUGUGCACCGGACAGUGUCUGGUGCGCCAACGGCUCUGAAUCUGCAACGGUCGGCUUCGCCAAAUAAGGAAAGAAAUCCGCACCGGACAGUGUCCGGUGGUGCACCGGACUGUCCGGUGCGCCAGGCGACAGAAGGCAAGAAUUGCCUUCCUGGAAUGCUCUCAACGGCUCCUAGCUGCCUUGGGGCUAUAAAAAGGACCCCUAGGCGCAUGGAGGAGAACACCAAGCAUUCCCCAAGCAUUCUAAAGCACCAAGACCUCGAUUCCGCGCAUUUGAUUCUUUGUGAUAGCAUCUAGAGCUCUAUUUGAGUUGUGAACUCGUCGGGUUGUGUUGUGAGCUCUUGUUGCGACUUGUGUGCGUGUUGUCGCUUUGAUUUUGUGUCUUGUGUGCGUUGCUCAUCCCUCCCUUACUCCGUGCUUCUUUGUGAACAUCAAAGUGUAAGGGCGAGAGGCUCCAAGUUGUGGAGAUUCCUCGCGAUCGGGAUAUAGUAAAGCAAAGCAAAACACCGUGGUAUUCAAGUGGGUCCUUGGACCGCUUUAGAGGGGUUGAUUGCAACCCUCGUCCGUUGGGACGCCACAACGUGGAGUAGGCAAGCGUUGGUCUUGGCCGAACCACGGGAUAAACCACUGUGCCAUCUCUGUGUUGAUCUUUUGUGGUUAUUGUGUUUUGUUAAGACUCCUCUCUAGCCACUUGGCAUUAUUGUGCUAACACCUAACACUUAAACAAGUUUUUGUGGCUUUAAGUUUAAGUUUUUACAGGAUCACCUAUUCACCCCCCUCUUUAGCUGCUCUCAAUUGGUAUCAGAGCCGUUCUCUUCAAGAAAGGGACUAAUCGCCCGAAGAGAUGGAUCCUAAGGGGAAGGGAAUUGUGAUCAAUGAAAAGGAGAUGGAGUCCUUCGUCAACGAGCCGAAGGAGGACAAGCCUACCGACUCGGGCUCGGGCCACAAACGAGAAGAUGGGAAGAAGAAGAAGACAAGGCGCAUCAAGGAGAUCGUCUACUACGACGACAGCGACGAGUCCACUUCUUCCCAAAAGGACGACGACAACGACUACGAGAGAAGGAAGACGGUUAAUUCAAACUUUUCCUUUGAUUAUUCCCGUAUUCCGCAAAGUACCAAUUCUCAUUUACUCUCCAUUCCACUUGGCAAACCUCCACACUUUGAUGGGGAGGACUACGGAUUUUGGAGUCACAAAAUGCGUAGUCACUUAUUCUCUCUCCAUCCAAGCAUAUGGGAGAUUGUAGAGAGUGGAAUGAAAUUUGAUAGCUCGGAUAGUCCCUUGUUUAUAAAUGAACAAAUCCAUAGAAAUGCACAAGCUACUACUGUCCUUUUAGCAUCUUUGUGCAGGGAAGAGUACAAUAACGUGAGCGGCUUGGACAAUGCCAAGCAGAUCUGGGACACCCUCAGGAUCUCACAUGAGGGGAACAACGUCACCAUGCUCACCAAAAUGGAGUUGGUGGAGGGCGAGCUUGGAAGAUUCGCAAUGAUAAGGGGAGAGGAGCCAACCCAAACAUACAACCGGCUCAAGACCCUCAUCAAUAAAAUAAGGAGCUACGGAAGCACGCGAUGGACGGACCACGACGUCGUUCGCCUAAUGCUAAGGUCCUUUACUGUACUUGAUCCACAUCUGGUGAACAAUAUUCGUGAAAAUCCUAGGUACACCAAGAUGUCGCCCAAAGAAGUUCUUAAGAAGUUCGUAAGCGGGCGAAUGAUGAUCAAGGAUGCGAGAUACGUGGAUGAUGCGCUAAAUGGCCCAAUCCAUGAGCCUCAAACCAUCGCCCUCAAAGCAACGAGAAGCAAGGAGACGCUACCUAACAAGGUGGCGCAAGUUGAGGCGGUGGGACUAAAUGAGGAAGAGAUGGCCCUCAUCAUCAAGCGCUUCAAGACGGCGCUAAAGGGCCACAAGGAGCAUCCCAAGAAGAACAAGAUGAAGGGAAAGAGCUCCUACUUCAAGUGUGGUAAGAUUGGUCAUUUUAUCGCUAGAUGUCCCGAUAAUGAUAGUGACCAGGAACAAGAGAAGAAAGGGGAAAAGAAGAAGAAGUACAAGAAGGCUAAGGGCGAGGCACAUCUUGGCAAGGAGUGGGACUCGGAUUGCUCUUCAUCCGACGAUGAAGGACUUGCCACCACCACCUUCAACAAAUCGGCCCUCUUCCCCAACGAGCGUCACACAUGCCUCAUGGCGAAGGAGAAGAAGGUAUGUACUCGAAAUACUACUUAUGCUUCUUCAAGUGAGGACGAGUCUAGUGAUGAUGAUGAAAUAGAUUAUUCAUGUUUAUUCAAAGGCCUAGAUAGAACCAAGGUUGAUAAAAUUAAUGAAUUAAUUGAUGCCUUGAAUGAUAAGAAUAGAUUAUUAGAAAAGCAAGAGGAUUUGUUGUAUAAAGAACAUGAAAAAUUUGUAGAGGCACAAAAAUCUCAUGCUUUAGAAGUUAAAAGAAAUGAAAUGCUUUCUUGUGAACUAUCUACUUGCCAUGAGACAAUUUCUAGCUUAAGAAGCAUAAAUGAUGAUUUGAAUGCUAAGUUAGAAAUAGCUAGUAAAUCAACAUCUGGUGUAGAAAAUGUUGUAAUUUGCAAUAGGUGUAAAGAUUUUAAUAUUGAUGCAUGUAGCAAACACCUAGCUUCAAUUUCUAGAUUGAAUGAUGAAGUGGCUAGUCUUAAUGCCCAACUUAAGACUAGCAAAAGUGAAUUCGAUAAGCUAAAAUUUGCAAGGGAUGCCUACACGAUUGGUAGACACCCCUCAAUUAAGCAUGGACUUGGCUUCAAGAGGGAAGCCAAGAACUUGACAUGUCAUAAGGCUCCCAUCUCCAUCAAGGAGAAAGGGAAGGCCCCUAUGGCAAAUAGUAUUCAAAAGAACCAUGCUUUAUUAUACCAUGAUAGGAAAUAUUCUAGGAAUGUUCAUCAUGAUAGAAAUUGCAAUAAUGUUGUUUCACAUGCUUAUGAUUCAUAUGCUAUGACUGCUUCUAGUUCCCAUGUUGUGCAUGGUAGAGAUAUGCCUAGGAAAAAUAUUCAUCAUGUGCCUAGAAAGAAUAUUGUUCAUGUUCCUAGGAAAGUAAUACAUGAACCUUCUACAAUUUAUUAUGCUUGCAAUACAUCCUUUGCUAUUUGUAGAAAGGAUAAGAAGGUAAUUGCUAGGAAGUUAGGGGCAAGAUGCAAGGGAGAUAAAACUUGCAUUUGGGUCCCUAAGACCAUUGUGACUAACCUUGUAGGACCCAACAAGAGUUGGGUACCUAAAACCCAAGCCUAAAUUUGCCUUACAGGUUUAUGCAUCUAGGGGUUCAAGCUGGAUUAUCGACAGCGGAUGCACAAACCACAUGACGGGGGAGAAGAAGAUGUUCACCUCCUACGUCAAGAACAAGGAUUCCCAAGAUUCAAUCAUAUUUGGUGAUGGGAACCAAGGCAAGGUGAAAGGGUUAGGAAAAAUUGCUAUUUCAUCCGAGCACUCUAUUUCUAAUGUGUUCUUAGUUGAGUCGCUUGGAUAUAACUUGUUGUCUGUGAGUCAACUUUGUAAUAUGGGAUAUAAUUUUUAAUUCACAAAUAUAGAUGUGUCUGUCUUUAGAAGAUGUGAUGGUUCACUAGCCUUUAAGGGUGUACUAGACGACAAACUUAUUUAGUUGAUUUUGCAAAAGAGGAGGUCGGUCUAGAUGCAUGCUUAAUUGCUAAGACUUGCAUGGGCUGGCUGUGGCAUCGCCGUUUAGCGCAUGUGGGGAUGAAGAACCUUCACAAGCUUCUAAAGGGAGAACACGUGAUAGGUCUAACUAAUGUGCAUUUCGAAAAAGAUAGACCUUGUGCAGCUUGUCAAGCAGGUAAACAAGUGGGAAGUACUCAUCACAUCAAGAAUGUGAUGACUACAUCAAGACCCCUGGAGCUGCUGCAUAUGGACCUCUUCGGACCCGUCGCCUACCUAAGCAUCGGGGGAAGUAAGUAUGGUUUAGUAAUUGUUGAUGAUUUUCCCGCUUCACUUGGGUAUUCUUUUUGCAGGAUAAAUCUGAAACCCAAGGGACCCUCAAGCGCUUCCUAAGGAGAGCUCAAAAUGAGUUUGAGCUCAAGGUGAAGAAGAUAAGGAGCGACAACGGGUCCGAAUUCAAGAACCUUCAAGUGGAGGAGUACCUUGAGGAGGAAGGGAUCAAGCACGAGUUCUCCGCUCCCUACACACCACAGCAAAAUGGUGUGGUAGAGAGGAAGAACAGGACGCUCAUCGAUAUGGCGAGGACAAUGCUUGGAGAGUUCAAGACGCCCGAGUGCUUUUGGUCGGAAGCCGUGAACACGGCUUGUCACGCCAUCAACUGGGUGUAUCUUCAUCGCCUCCUCAAGAAGACUUCGUAUGAGCUUCUAACCGGUAACAAACCCAGUGUGUCUUACUUUUGUGUAUUUGGGAGCAAAUGCUAUAUUCUAGUGAAGAAAGGUAGAAAUUCUAAGUUUGCUCCCAAAGUUGUAGAAGGGUUUUUGUUAGGUUAUGACUCAAAUACAAAGGCGUAUAGGGUCUUCAACAAAUCAUCGGGUUUGGUUGAAGUCUCUAGCGACGUUGUAUUAGAUGAGACUAAUGGCUCUCCAAGAGAGCAAGUUGUUGAUCUUGAUGAUGUAGAUGAAGAAGACAUUCCAACGGCCGCGAUUCGCACCAUGGCGAUUGGAGAUGUGCGACCACAGGAACAAAAGGAGCAAGAUCAACCUUCUUCCUCAACAAUGGUGCAUCCCCCAACUCAAGACGAUGAACAGGUUCAUAAAAAGGAGGCGUGCGAUUAAGGGGGAGCACAAGAUGAUCAUGUGAUGGAGGAAGAAGCACAACCGGCACCUCCAACCCAAGUUCGAGCGACGAUUCAAAGGAAUCAUCCCGUUGACCAAAUAUUGGGUGAUAUUAGCAAGGGAGUAACUACUCGUUCUAGAUUAGUUAAUUUUUGUGAGCAUUACUCCUUUGUCUCUUCUAUUGAGCCUUUCAGGGUAGAAGAGGCCUUGCUAGAUCUGGACUGGGUGUUGGCCAUGCUGGAGGAGCUCAACAACUUCAAGCGUAAUGAAGUUUGGACACUGGUGCCUCGUCCUAAGCAAAAUGUUGUGGGGAUCAAGUGGGUGUUCCGCAACAACCAAGAUGAGCCCGGGGUGGUGAGAAGGAACAAGGCUCGACUUGUGGCAAAAGGUUAUGCCCAAGUCGUAGGUUUGGACUUUGAGGAGUCUUUUGCUCCUGUGGCUAGGCUAGAGUCCACUCGUAUUUUGCUAGCAUAUGCCGCUCACCAUUCUUUCAGGUUGUUCCAAAUGGAUGUGAAGAGCGCCUUCCUCAACGGGCCAAUCAAGGAGGAGGUUUACGUGGAGCAACCCCCUGGCUUCGAGGAUGAACGGUACCCCGACCACGUGUGUAAGCUCUCUAAGGCGCUCUAUGGACUUAAGCAAGCCCCAAGAGCAUGGUAUGAAUGCCUUAGAGACUUUUUAAUUGCUAAUGCUUUCAAGGUUGGGAAAGCCGAUCCAACUCUUUUCACUAAGACUUGCGAUGGUGAUCUUUUUGUGUGCCAAAUUUAUGUCGAUGACAUAAUAUUUGGUUCUACUAAUCAAAAGUCUUGUGAAGAGUUUAGCAGGGUGAUGACGCAGAAAUUCGAGAUGUCGAUGAUGGGCGAGUUGAACUACUUCCUUGGGUUCCAAGUGAAGCAACUCAAGGAUGGCACCUUCAUCUCCCAAACGAAGUACAUGCAAGACUUGCUAAAGCGGUUUGGGAUGAAGGACGCCAAGCCCGCCAAGACUCCAAUGGGAACCGACGGACACACCGACCUCAACAAAGGAGGUAAGUCUGUUGAUCAAAAGGCAUACCGGUCAAUGAUAGGGUCUUUACUUUAUUUAAGUGCUAGUAGACCGAAUAUUAUGCUUAGCAUAUGCAUGUGUGCUAGAUUUCAAUCCGAUCCAAGGGAGUGUCACUUAGUGGCCGUGAAGCGAAUUCUUAGAUAUUUUGUCGCUACGCCUUGCUUCGGGUUCUGGUAUCCAAAGGGGUCUAACUUUGACUUGAUUGGAUAUUCAGACUCCGACUAUGCUGGAUGUAAGGUCGAUAGGAAGAGUACAUCGGGGACGUGCCAAUUCUUAGGAAGGUCCCUGGUGUCAUGGAAUUCUAAGAAACAAACUUCUGUUGCCCUAUCCACCGCUGAGGCCGAGUUCGUUGCCGCAGGACAAUGUUGCGCGCAACUACUUUGGAUGAGGCAAACCCUCCGGGACUUUGGCUACAAUCUGAGCAAAGUCCCACUCCUAUGUGACAAUGAGAGUGCUAUCCGCAUAGCAGAAAAUCCUGUUGAGCACAGCCGCACAAAGCACAUUGACAUCCGGCAUCACUUUUUGAGAGACCACCAGCAAAAGGGAGAUAUCGAAGUGUUCUAUAUUAGCACCGAGAACCAGCUAGCCAAUAUCUUUACCAAGCCUUUAGAUGAGAAGACCUUUUGCAGGCUGCGUAGUGAGCUAAAUGUCUUAGAUUCGCGGAACUUGGAUUGAUUUAUAGCAUACAUGUGUUUAUGCCUUUGAUCAUGUUCCUUAUGCAUUUUGUUGUUUAUUUAUGGUGCUCAAGUUGUACAAGCACUCCCCGGACCUCACAAGUCCUUUUGCAAGUGAUGCACAUAUUUAGGGGGAGAUGUGCUACAACUUGACUCUUUGAGACUAACCGUGUGCUUGAGUUUGCUUGAUUUAGUCUCAAAGGAAGGUUGAGAGGGAAAAGAUGGACUUGGACCAUGAAAGACUUGCACUGCACUCCGAUGAGAGGGUAACUUAUUCCAAGUUCAUCUAAUGUACUCUUAUUGCCCUUGUAUACUUAUUUGAAGAUUUUGGUGAGGCAAUGGGGUUCAAGGGCCAAGAUUGAUCCCGUUUUGGUGCUUGAUGCCAAAGGGGGAGAAAAUAAGGCCAAAGCAAUAAAUGGAUCAGUUACCACUUGAGAAAUUUUGAAAAUAGUAGAAUAGAGCUUUUGGUUUGUCAAAACUCUCUUGUUGUUUCUCUUUGCAAAAGUUGGUCUCCUGUGGGGAGAAUGGUUGAUUAUGGGAAAAAGGGGGGGGGGUUUGAAUCUUUGAUCAAUUUCUCCUGGAAUACCUCUCUUUAUGUCUCUACAAGUGAAGUUGACUUAGAGAUAGGAAAUUGAGUUUGAUUUGCAAAAACAAACCAAGUGGUGGCAAAGAGUGAUCCAUAUAUGCCAAAUUUGAAUCAAAACAAUUUUGAGUUUUCAUUUGCAUUGAUAUUGCACUUGUUCUAGUUGCUUUAUGUUGUGUUGGCAUAAAUCACCAAAAAGGGGGAGAUUGAAAGGGAAAUGUGCCCUUGGGCCAUUUCUAAGUAUUUUGGUGAUUGAGUGCCAACACAAGUGCUUAAGUGUUAGAGUAUCCCAAGUGACGGACAAAGUGCAAAUCAAAAGUAAAUGUAUGUUUCUAGACUUAGUACAUUGUUUUAUGGACUAAUGUAUUGUGUCUAAGUGCUGGAAACAGGAAAAAUCAAGUUGGAAAAGAGAUGGCUUUGUUCAGCCAAAGUCUGCUCAGUCUGGCUGCACCGGACAGUGUCCGGUGCAGCAGGCUGGCUCUGGUGAACUUGCUGCUCUCGGGACUUCGACGGCGGUGUACGGCUAUAAAUCACCGGACUGUCCGGUGGUGCACCGGACUGUCCGGUGAGCCGUUCACAGGCGAAGUCGUCGCUCUCGGGAAGUGAUUAACGGCGUACGGCUAAAAAUCACCGGUCUGUAUGGUGGUGCACCAGACUGUCCGGUGAGCCAACGGUCAGCCGGGCCAAUGGUCGGCUGAGGAUUCCGCGCAUGACGCGUGGCCGAGCCAACGGUCACAUUGGAGCACCGGACUGUCCGGUGUGCACCGGACAGUGUCCGGUGCGCCAACGGCUCUGAAUCUGCGACGGUCGGCUUUGCCAAAUAAGGAAAGAAAUCCGCACCGGACAGUGUCCGGUGGUGCACCGGACUGUCUGGUGCGCCAGGCGAUAGAAGGCAAGAAUUGCCUUCCUGUAAUGCUCUCAACGGCUCCUAGCUGCCUUGGGGCUAUAAAAAGGACCCCUAGGCGCAUGGAGGAGAACACCAAGCAUUCCCCAAGCAUUCUAAAGCACCAAGACCUCGAUUCCGCGCAUUUGAUUCUUUGUGAUAGCAUCUAGAGCUCUAUUUGAGUUGUGAACUCGUCGAGUUGUGUUGUGAGCUCUUGUUGCGACUUGUGUGCGUGUUGUCACUUUGAUUUUGUGUCUUGUGUGCGUUGCUCAUCCCUCCCUUACUCCGUGCUUCUUUGUGAACAUCAAAGUGUAAGGGCGAGAGGCUCCAAGUUGUGGAGAUUCCUUGCGAUCGGGAUAUAGUAAAGCAAAUCAAAACACCGUGGUAUUCAAGUGGGUCUUUGGACCGCUUGAGAGGGGUUGAUUGCAACCCUCGUCCGUUGGGACGCCACAACGUGGAGUAGGCAAGCGUUGGUCUUGGCCGAACCACGGGAUAAACCACUGUGCCAUCUCUAUGUUGAUCUCUUGUGGUUAUUGUGUUUUGUUAAGACUCCUCUCUAGCCACUUGGCAUUAUUGUGCUAACACCUAACACUUAAACAAGUUUUUGUGGCUUUAAGUUUAAGUUUUUACAGGAUCACCUAUUCACCCCCCCUCUAGGUGCUCUCAUGAGGUCACCGGAGUUGAGGCUGGCGCGAGCUGGAGUGGCUACAGGGUCGUCGGAGUUGGGCAGAGAGGGAGAGGGCACCACGGCGAACUCAAUGGCGGGGAAGAGGCCCUGAAUCCACGGGCAAAGAAGGGAGAACGGCGGUGAGAAGGUCUCGGGCGAGCCGGAGUAACUCUGGUGAGCCAUUCUGGCCACGGGGAGGGGACUUAAGGCGUGCUAAGGCCUGGGCUAGCUUCAGCAGAGGCAGGGUUGACAUAGGGACCUACUCCGGGGAACUAGACCGGGCUAAAUCGGCCGGCCACCGCGCGAGCAUGGUGGACCGCCGCGGCCGAGCACUGGCGAAGGCGAAAUUGGCCGAGCACAGGGCGCAAUAAGGGAAAUUGGGCACGGGGAUGGGUGUCUCACCUCUGGGCGAAGCUCGGGGAGGCUUGGAGCGGUCUCCGGCGAGCUGGAUGGCCAGGAACGCGGGCGUGGGUCUUCGGCGGCGGCUGGCGGCGUGGGCAGAGCAUGAGAGAGGGCGAAGCUACGCGAAAUGAGGUGAGGGGUGUGCGCGGGGCAUGGGCGGGGCUCUAAGAAGGGAGCUGGGCGCGUGGGCGGGCGUCGUGGCCGAGAAAUCCGGCGACGUGCGCACGAGUCGGUCCACGACGAGCGUGGAGGGGGCGGAACUGACAGGUAGGGUCCAUGGCGCAGAGAGAGGAGAAAGGGGCGUGCGGGGCAACAGCUCGGCGACUGGCGGACCGGGCCCGCGAGAUAGAGAGACUGGUCCCACUAGGCAGCGAGCGAGGGAGGGAGCGCGUGCGCGAGGGAGAACUGCCGCUGACAGGCGGGGUCCGCCUGUCAGACAGCGCGGGCGCGCGGCCUGGCUGGGCCGACUGGGCUGGUUUGGGCUGCUUUCUCCUUUUCUUUUUCUCUGAAUUUUCUAAUUCCUUUUCCAUUUCUUUUUCUAUAGGGUUUUUUCAAAUCCAAAUUCAAACUAGGUUUCAAAUUCAAAUAAAUUCAAACUUGUCCAACACUUCAAAGAAUAUUUUAAACUCAGCAUGAUGCAACAUGUCAAGACUCAUAAGGUUUUGACAAAAAUAAAUAAUUAACCUCCACUAGUUUAGGCUAUCUCUAAUCAAAAAGGAAAAAGGGAGAGAGAGAAAACCUAGAGUGAGAAAAAGAAGAGUAACACAUGAUUUUGGGUGAUAAUUAGAAAGAAAUUUUAUACCCCCAAAAUCAGGGUGUUACAGACCUAUCCCCCUUAAAAGAAUCUCGCCCUCGAGAUUCAGGGCUGGCUAGAAAAGAGCUCAGGGUACUUGGCUUUUAAAUCAUCUUCUCUUUCCCAGGUUGCUUCUUCUUCUGAGUGAUGGCCCCAUUUGACUUUGCACAUUCUGAUGGUGUUCCUCCGGGUGACCCGAUCUGCUGUCUCCAGAAUUUGAGUUGGCUUCUCAAUAUAAGUCAGAUCUUCUUGAACUUCAAGAUCCUCUGCUAGCAACUGCUCUUCUAGCACUCUUAAGCAUUUCUUCAACUGAGACACAUGGAACACAUCGUGCACAGCUGACAGAUUCUCUAGUAAGCUGAGUUGAUAAGCCACUUCUCCACGUCUUGCAUGAAUCUGAUACGGGCCGAUAUAGCGAGGGGCUAGCUUGCCCUUGACUCCGAACCUCUUGGUUCCUCUGAUAGGUGACACCUUCAAAUAGACAUAAUCUCCCACUUCAAAACUGAGUUCUCUUCUUCUGGUGUCAUCAUAGCUUCGUUGUCUGGACUGUGCUGCCUUCAAAUUCUCCCGGACCAUUCGGAUGUUCUCUUCGGCUUCAAGCAGAAUAUCUGGCCCGAACACCAGUCUUUCACCAGGUUGGUCCCAAUGCAGUGCAGUUCUGCAAUUCCUUCCAUAAAGCGCUUCAAACGGUGACAUCUUUAGGCUGGCUUGGUAGCUAUUGUUGUAAGAGAAUUCUGCAUAUGGUAAUCUCUUGUCCCAACCUAUGUUGUCUUGUAAGGCACAAGCCCUCAACAUAUCCUCCAAAAUCUGAUUAGUUAUCUCUGUUUGACCAUUUUGUCUGCGGGUGAUAAGCUGAGCUGAAUUUCAAAUGCGUGCCUAAAGCUUCAUGUAAGUACUGCCAAAAAUGAGAGGUGAACUGGGUGCCUCUAUCUGAUACUAUCUUCUUCGGAACGCCAUGCAAGCACACAAUCCGAGCCAUGUAUAGUUCGGCCAACACCGCACUGUUGUAGGUGGUCUUGACUGGUAUGAAAUGGGCCGCCUUUGUCAAACGGUCCACUACUACCCAGAUAGAGUCAUAACCAGUACGAGUGCGGGGAAAACCGACUAUAAAGUCCAUUCCUAUCUCAUCCCAUUUCCACUGAGGAAUCUGCAACGGUUGCAACAAACCUGCAGGUCUCUGAUGUUCUGCUUUAAUCCUCUGACAAUUGUUACAUACAGCCACAUACUCUGCUAUCUCCCUUUCAUAUCGUACCACCAAAAUAUUUUCUUCAGGUCUUGGUACAUCUUCUCACUACCAGGGUGUAUAGAGUAUGCUGUCUCAUGAGCUUCCUUGAGAAUCAGUUCCCGGAUUGGUUUGAUAUCGAGAACACACAGUCUGUCCUUGAACCAUACCACUCCUUCUGCAUCUUCACGGAAAUCCUUGCCUUAUCCAUCUAUGAUCAGCUGCCGGAUCUCGUUGAUUUUCUCAUCAUCCUUCUGACCCUUCCUGAUGUCUUUCUCUAGAGUGGGUUCCAACUCAAUUGUCACUCCUUGAGUGUUGUUCAGAAAUCCGAGACUCAACCUGUCGAAUUCCUUCGCUAGCUCAUAUGGCAUCGGGUGAGCGGCCAACAUAUUGACUUGACUCUUCCUGCUAAGAGCAUCUGCAACUACAUUUGCUUUGCUUGGGUGAUAAUGAAUCUCCAGCUCAUAAUCUUUGAUCAACUCUAGCCAUCUUCGCUGCCUCAUGUUUAACUCUNNNNNNNNNNNNNNNNNNNNNNNNNNNNNNNNNNNNNNNNNNNNNNNNNNNNNNNNNNNNNNNNNNNNNNNNNNNNNNNNNNNNNNNNNNNNNNNNNNNNGUCGUUUCCAUGGAACUUGCGUCCUGGGAUCGCAAGGCCUGUGGCUACUUUCCUUGUACGCUGAUUGUUAAUACCAUAUCUUAUAACUAGUGUGCAUGCCACAGGCCUUGUGAUGUCAUCAACUGGAUAGCGGACCUUAUUUCUCGUUGACGCGACAGAGCUUGGGAUGGUCGUACCCUCGGUGGCAGCCGGCGUUUGAGCUGCUGGAAUUAUUUGCAUCUGUGGAGUGGUCAUUUGUUGAACAGACAUCGCACUCGCCAUCGCCAAUUGCUGCAUCAAUUCUGGAGGAGGAUUCGAUAGCAUUUCAGACAUCAGGUCUUUGAACUCUUUCUUGGCCUCCUCCUUAAAAUAAUUUGCCAUCUCUUCCCUGUAUCGAUCACGUUUCUUGUACAGACCUUCCCAUUGUGGUCCGAAUCCUUCCUUCCAUCCUUCCUUAGAUGAUAUUCCUCGUACACGACCAGGAUGCUCAGGGUUACCGAGACCAGCCGUAGAAUGUCUUUCUCCCUUUGCGGCUUAAAUGUUCCUUCGCUCUGCUUAGCUGCAAUUGCAUAUAUGUUUUUUGCCGCUUCUUCGACAUUGGGAUCAUCAAAAGAUACACCAGACUCAGUUUCCCUUGGUUUUCUAGCACGGAUCCAAUUAGCUGUCCUUUCACCGAGUUGCUCGGACAGCGUCGGCAACCCUGCAGCCUUCUUCUCGGCGUCUUCUUGUCUCCAUUUAGGAACCUGACGCUUGUAACCACCUGUGCCAAGGUGGUCGAGGUAUUUGUUCUUCUUAGACAGUUCUGAAUUUGCCUCACUUAGCGAUAUGAAAUCAGGGCUGCUCCUCUACUCUAGAAAUACUGCCCACUGACCUGCUGAGAUUUUAUAUUUUUCGUCGGGUCUAGGCCUUUCUUUGCAAACUUUGUAUUCAUCUCAGACCUCCAGUUUCGGAAAUUUAUUGCAAACUGCUUCAUCGUGUAUUUUUUCACGAGUUCUUCUGAACCCCCAGGAAAAACGAACCUCGUUACUAGCUUAUUCCACAUUUGAUUCUUGACAUCAUCUGAUACAUCUCUCCACUGUCGGAUUGUGAUGUCAAGAUUAUCUCUAACUAAGAACCCAAGUGCAUUCCGAAACUUAGGCAGUGCCUCUUCUGGAGCUAGGGGCUGACCAUUCGGGCUCACGUUUGUGAUUUUAUAUGUCUUGUCAGGAAACUUGUUUAGCCCCCUGUCACCUCUGUUCCGAUCGCUCUGCUUCCUUUUCCUUGACCUCUCGGUGGUUGUCUCGGUCGAUUCCGGUGCGCCUUAGGUCGGUUCCGGUGCGCCUUGGAUCGGUUCCGGUGCGUCUUGGUAUUGUGCCGCAGCUUUUUCGAGCAUCGCACGAAAUUCAGACAAGACCUCCUAUUCAUGUAAUAAAAUGCACAAGAAAUCAUGCAUGUGUAAUAGACAUUGUGAAAUCAGCUAAUUAAUUAGGUACACACACGAAAUUAAGGAUGUGUAAUUUACCUCAUGUUCUUGUGGAUCAUAAGUAGGGUCACGUUGCAACUCACGCGCAGCGGCCCUAUCUAUCCUAGUGGUAGGAAAAGGGUCGCUAGGCGUUUCAUAUCCUUCACUGCUGGAUUCUUCUUGAGCAACACUCUUGUCCAUGUGGUCGGGCCCUAAUCCUUGGUCCUUGGUUGGAGAACUCAUUGAGCUACAUAUUAACAUAAGCAAUAAUUAAAUUCGUAUUAACAAAUACCCUAACCCUUAUCGAGGAGUCGUAUAGAACAUAUAGAGAGAGAGAGAGGGAGAGAGGAGGAGUCGUAUAGGACGUAUAGAGAGGGAGAGAGGGAGAUGGAGAGUCGUAUAGAACGUAUAGAGAGAGAGAGAGGAGGAGUCGUAUAGAACGUAUAGAGAGAGAGAGGGAGAGAGGAGGAGUCGUAUAGGACGUAUAGAGUCGUAUAGAACGUAUAGAGAGAGAGAGAGAGGAGGAGUCGUAUAGAACGUAUAGAGAGAGAGGGAGAGAGGAGGAGUCGUAUAGGACGUAUAGAGAGGGAGAGAGGGAGAUGGAGAGUCGUAUAGAACGUAUAGAGAGAGAGAGGGAGAGAGAACUCGCUCUGGUCAAGUGGGGUUCAGAUGAGUUCCUCUUAAUCGAAACAACGCAAGUGUGUCGUACGUCGUCUUCUAAUUUCACUAGCUAAUAGUACUACAAUGGAAUACGUAGUUUACUAGUGAAUCUAGUCUACAUUUUACAAUGGAAUACGUUGUUUACAAUGAAAUACGUUGUUUACAAUAGAAUACAAUAGAAUAUGUUGUUUACAAUUGAAUACGAUGGAAAAAAACAUGCUUUUCGUUGCUCUCUCCUCUCUCUCUCUAAUCUCCCUCCCUUUCCUCUCUCUUCCCUCCCUCCCUCUCCCUCUCUUUCCUCUCUCUUCCCUUUCCCCCUCUCUCCUCUCUCUCCCCUUACACUCUCUUUCCUAUAUAUACACUCCCUCUCCCUCCUCUCUCUUCUCUCUCUCUCCCUCCCUCCACUCUCUUUCCUCUCUCUUCCCUUUCCCUCUCUCUCCUCUCUCUCUCUCCCUCCACUCUCUUUCCUAUAUAUACACUCCCUCUCCCUCCUCUCUCUUCUCUCUCUCUCCCUCCCUCCACUCUCUUUCCUCUCCUCUCUCUUCCCUCUCCCUCCUCUAUCUUCUCUCCCUCUCUCUCUCUCUCUCUGCAGAGACGCGCGCAGGGUCUCCCUCUCUUCCCUCUUCCUCCUCUCUCUUCCCUCUAACUCUCUCACUCUUCCUAGUCUUAGGGUUUAGCCGCGGCACGUGCACGACGGCGGCGCUUGCACAGCGGCGGCGCUUGCACGGCGGCGGCGGCGGCGGCGCGCAUGCCCGAGCGAUCAUAGUCGAAGAAAGGGAGAGAGAGAGAGAGAGAAGAACAUACCUACGGCGCGGGGACGACGGCGUGGACGACGGCGUGAACGACGGCGGCGCACGGCGGAGAAAAUCGCCGGGCGAAUUUUUGGCAGCCUGACGGCGGGAAGAUGGAAAGACAGGGCGCCAGACUUAGCGAAAAUUUUUCGGCCCCGCGCGCGCUCCUUUAUAUAGGAGAUAUUUCUACUGGCGGUUCUCUAUGACAACCGCCAGUAGAAAUCAUUUAUACUGGCGGUUGUCAUAGAGAACCGCCAGUAGAAAUGCCAUCCACAGACUGUGGAGGCCAUUUCUACUAGCGGUUCUCUAUGACAACCGCCAGUAGAAAUCAUUUAUACUGGCGGUUUUCGUUGAGAACCGCCAGUAGUAAUGUUUUUAGUAUAUUAUUUUUUAUUGUAUAUUCAUACAUUAAUUAUAUAUAUUUUUAUACAUAUUAAAUAUAUAAAUAUAUAUAUAUAUAUUUAGUAUACAUAAUAUAUAUAUUUACCUCUAUCUCUCUCCUCUCUCUCUCCCUCUCCCCUCUCCCUCCUCUCUCUUCCCUCUCUCUCUCCUCUAUCUCUCCUCUCUCUCUCUCUCCUCUAUCUCUCCUCUAUCUCUCCUCUCUCUCCUCUAUCUCUUCCCUCUCUCUCUCUCUCCUCUGUCUCUCCUCUCUCUCUCUCCUCUCUAUCUCCUCUCUCUAGCUCCUCCUCUCCCCUCUCCCUCUCUGUCUCUCUCUCCUCUAUCUCUCCUCUAUCUCUCUCUCUCUCCUCUAUCUCUCCUCUCUCUCUCUCUCUCUCCUCUCUCUCUCCUUUCCCUAGCUCCUCUCUCUCCCCUCUCCCUCUCUCUCUCCAAGUCCUCCCUGCUUUUAUUUUACCUCGCGUUCUAGGUGAUAAACCAUGACCGGGAAAAAGACCACGACUUCCUCUGACGGCGGCACUCCAAAGAAAGCCAAGGUGGUGGUGGAGGAUGAGGAAGAGGCGGGGUUGGAGGAUGAGGAAGAGGCGACUGUGACACUAUCCGUGGAGAAGGACGCGCUGGAGUGCGACAUCUGCUGCCUACCCUUCCAGUCUGAAGUUUUCAUGGCAAGUCAGAUUACCAUGCAUGUAUAUAUACAGUACAUAUUGAUCGGUAGGCUCCAACAUGAUGUUCUGCUCUGUGUAAAAUCAGUGCAAGAACGGGCAUUCUGGAUGUGCAAAGUGCUGCAUCCGCACGGACGGUAAGUGCUGGACCUGCUCCGAGCGCAUUGGCAACAAUAGCUCUGUCUCCCUCUCCCUCUCCUCUCUAGAAAGUCGUGUAAAAUUACAUGACAUGUCCUAACAAUAAUCAAUUACAUGACAACUAUAUAAUCUAGGGAGCUAUUGUUCUGCCUUGUCCAUCCUGGCGUACCCAGGGCAUCGAAUUGCGUGGGAUGCUUCGCUCAACGUUCCUUAUCUUGGUUGGAUGGUCUAUGAAAAGAGACAUGUCGUUGAACUGGUUAAAAUCCUUUAAAUCAGAUACACCAUCAACUCCUAUAGCUUGUUGUUUUCCAGGAAAAACUACAUGCUUCGGUUUAUCGGUGCUUUUCUUCUCAUUGUUAGAAAUGAUCUGUUCAGCAUAGAAGACCUGUGCAGCACGAUUAGCAAGGAUCCAUGGGUCAUCUUUGUAACCUACCUUACUUAGAUCAAGAACUCUGACCCCAUAGUUGUCUACCGUGACAUGUUUGUCUUCAACCCAUUGACAUCGGAAAACCGAUAUCUGAAAUGUACCAUAGUCUAGUUCCCAUAUGUCCUCAAUAAAGCCAAAAUAUGUAAUAAUCUCACCAGUUUCAUCAUCUAUGGCCUCGCAUCGAACACCACUGUUUUGUGACAUGCUCUUUUUGUCCUUGGACUUUGUACAAAAUGUGAAUCCACUAAUGUCAUAGGUUUGCCAUGUUGUGACCUGGCGUGAAGGUCCAGAUGCCAACCCCUUGAUGGUUUUUUCUUCUAUUGUUUCUCCACGUGGAAUGUCCUUCACCAUUAGCCAUGUGUUGAACCGCUGCUUAUGUUGCUUCAUUACCCAAUCAGCCGUAUGCCCAGGAUUUUGCUCGUGAAGCUCAUUGAUGUGUUGUUGGAUAAAUGGCUCUAUUAUCGCUAGCUGAUGUAGGAUGCUGUGAUGUGCCUCAAGUACUGUAUUGUAAUCUGGUGGAAUGAAAGAUUUCCGUCCCAUCCUCCCGCUUCCAUACAAUCUACCCUCGUGUCGUGACGGAGGCAGACCUAUUGCAACCUGAUCUUUUAGGAUAUUAUUGCAGAAUGGACCUCCCGACUCAAUGGCCUCUUCAGUACAGUACCCCUCUAUCAUGGAUGCCUCGGGACGAGCACGGGUUGAUACAUAGCCAUUCAGUAUUGACAUGAAACGCUCGUACGUCCACAUUUCAUGUAAGUACAUAGGACCCAAUGCCUCUAUUUGUGGCACCAAGUGCACCACAAGGUGCACCAUAAUAUCAAAGAACGAUGGAGGGAAACACAUCUCAAACUGUGUUAUUGUCUCCACUGCGAAUUCCUGAAGAGAUGCCAACUCAUCACGGUCAAUUACCUUUUGUGAAAUUCUGUUGAAAAAGUAGCACAACCGUGUGAUUGCCAUCUUUAAAAACAAAGGAUUUAUAGCCCUGAUGGCAAUAGGUAGGAAUGUAGUCAGCAUGACAUGACAAUCAUGUGAGUUGUAGUUGGUGACUAUCAGGUCUUUCAUUGACACAAUACUUCGUAUGCUAGAGCAGAAUCCGGAUGGGACUUUCAAAUUCUUAAGCCAAACACACAUCGUAUGUUUCUCAUCUACAUUGAGAUUGUAGCUUGCUGCUGGGAGAUGAUACUUCCCAUUUUCUUGAAGAACAGGAUGUAGUUCCUUUUUUAUGCCUAAAUUUACCAAGUCCAUGCGUGAAUUGAGCCCUUCUUUUGUUUUGCCCUUUAUGUCUAGCAAGGUGCCAAUUAUGCUUUCAAACACGUUCUUCUGAACGUGCAUACCAUCGAUCGCAUGCCGCACAUCUAACUCUUUCCAGUAAGGCAAGUACUCGAAGAAAAUAGACUUUUUCUUGAAUAUAGCCCCCGGAGCUGGUUUGACAUCUUUCCUUGUUUUUCCGUCUUUUGUCUUCUUCCCGAAAACAAACUUGAUAUUCUUGACUAUUUCAAAAACUCUAUGACCUUUAUUGUUACCCGAUGGAGCAGUAAAAUGUAGUUCACCAUUAUUGUCAAAGUACUUAUCCAUCUUUCGCAUGCGGUACCUGUGUCCUUCCAAUAAAAAGCGUCUGUGCCUCAUGUACACUAUCUUCUUAGAUGCAGUAAGGGACACGUAAGCAGUUUCAUCAAUGCAUACUGUGCAGCCAACCUUUCCCUUAAACUGGCCUGAUAAUGUGAAGAGUGCAGGGUAAUCGUUGAUCGUAACAAAAAUAAUUGCUCUCAGCAUGAAUGAAUCUUUACGAUACUCAUCCAACAUUUGAACACCCGUUACCCACAAUAUUUUCAUAUCCUCCAUUAAGGGCUCUAAAAAUACAUCCAUAUCAACUCCAGGUUGUGUAGGUCCAGAAAUAAGCAUGGUUAGCAAAAUGUACUUCCGUUUCUGCAUCAACCAUGAAGGAAGGUUGUAUAUGGUGAGGAUCACUGGCCAUGUGCUAUGCUUGCUGCUCCUUUCAGCAAAUGGAUUCAUUCCAUCAGUACUCAGUGCGAACCUAACAUUUCUUGGUUCAUCGGCAAAGUCUCGGUGGUUCUCAUUGAAAUCUUGCCACUGCUUCCCAUCGGCUGGAUGUUGAAGCUUCCCAUCGUUUUUGUGCUCAUUAGAAGCAUGCCAGCUCAUAAGUUUGGCAUCCUCAGGGUUAGCGAACAAACACCUCAAUCGAUCGACGACGGGGAGGUACCACAUCACCAAAGCAGGAAUCUUUUUGAGCGCAUAAUAGUCUACUUCUUCUUUUUCUUUGCUCGUGGAUUUUGAAGUCUUCUUUUUGGCUUUCUUUCGCUUCUUCCCUUUAGACACAGAUGCAACACACUCUUCCUCUCGAUAGUCUUUAUUCGUCUUGUACCUACUUGCACCACACUUUGGGCAGCUCUCUAAGUCUUUAUAAUCAUCACCUCGAUAAAGGAUACAGUGAUUUCUACACGCGUGGAUCUUCUCCACGCCCAUAGUGAGUGGACUGAUUAGUUUCUUUGCAUAGUACGUGUUAGCAGGCACUUUGUUCUCCUUUGGAAGCAUGUCUGCGACAAUACUCAAGUACGCAUCGAAGCCAGCAUCAGACAGACCAGAUCUAGCUUUUAACAUCAACAACUUUAACACAGACCGGAGCGUCAUGAACUCUUUGGUACAGCCCUUAGACUCGUCGUACAAAGGCUCUUCUGCUGCCUUCUUCAGGGACUCCAUACCUUUCAUGAAGAACAUCGAUGGAUCUGUAUGACGACGCAACAUUGCCUCUAACAACUCUGCAUCUUCCUCGUCCAUAACAUUUGGCAGAACAUGGGUUCUUUCACGUUCAUUUCCUCCGGCGUAACCAUGAUCAGUAACAUUUGGCACUACAUGUUCGCUCUGUGGAAGAGGUUGUUGUGUCUCGUGAAUGAACUGAAAGCUGUCGUCGAUGUUCGUAGGGUUUCCAGCUGUAUAAGGCGAAGAGCUACCCUCUCCAUGCUUUGUCCAAAUUAUGUAAUCUUUCACAAAUCCUCGGCAUACCAGAUGAGAUAUGAUUUGUUCUGUGUCAUCAAAUACAACAGCAUUUUUGCAGUCCAUGCAUGGACAAUAUAUGUGCUUUGUCUUUGUUCUCCAAGCAUGGUUCUUAGCGACAACAAUAAACUUAUGGACCUCAGAUAUGUAUGAUGGAUCUAGCCUUGAUAAGUUAUACAUCCAGGAUAUCCUCUCCAUCAUCACCUGUAAAAAAGUAACAUAAAACACAUGGUGAAACCCUAUAUCCAAAAAUGUGGCUAAAAUGUGAAACUCUCUCUCUCUCCUCUCUUUUAGUCGAAUAGUCCUUCCUGCUUUUAUUUUACCUCGCGUUCUAAGUGAUAAACCAUGACCGGGAAAAAGACCACGACUUCUCUAUGGAGGAUGAGGAAGAGGCGGGCUUCUCUACGGCGGCACUCCAAAGAAAGCCAAGGUGGUGGUGGAGGAUGAGGAAGAGGCGGGGUUGGAGGAUGAGGAAGAGGCGACUGUGACACUAUCCAUGGAGAAUGACGCGCUGGAGUGCGACAUCUGCUGCCUACCCUUCCAGUCCAAAGUUUUCAUGGCAAGUCAGAUUACCAUGCAUGUAUAUAUACAGUACAUAUUGAUCGGUAGGCUCCAGCAUGAUGCUCUGCUCUGUGUAAAAUCAGUGCAAGAACGGGCAUUCUGGAUGUGCAAAGUGCUGCAACCAAAAUGUGCCUAAAAUGGAGGAAAAAUGAACAAAAUUUGGCAAAAUAAACAUAAGCCAAACUUUCCUAACUACUAAUAAACAAAAAAAUUUAAUACCCAAACCUAUCUCUAACACAUGGUGAAAGCCUAGUUUCAAAAUGUAGUUAAAAUUGAAACAUAAUUAAACAACCUUCCAUACAACACAUUCACCAUUCAUUAAGCAAUUAAAUAUGUGUUAUGGAUAAACUUAAUUGAGAACUAAACAUGAAAAAGGAGAGGGAAUAGACAAAAACUGACCAUCUUAAACAACCUCAUUUGAGGAAAUAGAGAAAAUAACCUAACUAUACUCUUCUCUCUCUCAUGUAAAACCCUAGAUCCAAAAUGUGGCUAAAAUUGAGCAAGAAUGAACAAAAAUUGACAAAGAAACAUAAACCAACCUUUCUUAUCCACCUUCUUCCAAGAAAUGAAGACCAAAACCUCCCCCCUUAUAUUUUUGUGAAAUCUGGACCUCCAAAAUCGCCUCCAAUGGAAGUUGGCUGCGAGCAUACAGUUCACUGUCGGGGGGAAGAAGAGGGGUAUUUAUAACAGACAGUUCACUGGCGGUUGGCUUUAAAAACCGCCAGUGGAAACCUAUUUCCACUGGCGGUUAUCUUAACACAACCGCCAGUGGAAAUAGGGUAUUUCCACUGGCGGUUCUCUUACACCAACCGCCAGUGGAAAUUGGUUUCCACUGGCGGUUAUCUUAACACAACCGCCAGUGGAAACAUCCUAUUUCCACUGGCGGUUAUCUUAAGAUAACCGCCAGUGGAAAUAGGUUUCCACUGGCGGUUCCCAAGACGGGCCCACCUCGUUUUUUUACUGGCGCACGAUAACUGAAACCGCCAGUGAUAAUUUAUGGGUGCCGCAGGCUAUGAGCUCUUUUCUACUAGUGGAAGCCGAAGCUUAAAAAUUUAAAAAGCCAAGCAAGUGUUGGUGCGCAAGAGCUAAAAAUUGAGUAAGCAGGAGCAGAUGGCAAAAAAAGCAUACCAAAUGAGUUUGCGGUGUGCUCUUAUUUAUACGCCUGAUGCGUUGCAUACUGGAGGGCCCGCUUGUCGGUGACUAUUGCUAUUCUAGCAAAGGGAAGGUGUUUUUUCGGACCUUCGGCUCAGAGCCUUCGUCCUUAUUGCAAUCUGAAUUUAUCAUUCUAACAAAUUAAUAUUGCAAGGGGCUAGUGUUGGGGGCCUUCGGCUUCCGAAUGUCCUCAAAAACAUGAUUUAACAAUGUUUCUGGAAGUAUAAUGCAUGAACAGGUACCUUCGAACAUGGACUCUUCGGACAAGUCAAAAUCUUUGUAUGAAGAAACACAAAGAGAACGAAGGAUGGAACAGAGCCGAAGUUGUGCGUAAGGAAGCUUCGGCAUGAUGGCAGAAAAGAGGAAACCGACUUAAAGAGGAAAAGACUAUCUAGACCUCGAUGGAUUACUAUAGAGUUAUUAUCAAAAGCAAAGGACCUGGAUGUAAUUUUACAUGGGCUGCGACCCGUGCAUAUAAAUAGGUGAAUAGUACUCCCGUACUGUUCACGCUGACUUGGCAUUCACUUUUGCGUCACACCUGUAUUUUUUCCUUCAAGCCGAAGGUAUAUUUGCAAUCUGUUGUCAUUUCUAUAAUAAUAAAAAUAAAAAGGAGUUAAUAAUAUUUGAAUAUUUAUUUAUGUCAUUUUUCAUACUUUAUAUGAAUCUUUUUUUCAUCAUUUGUUAUACUGAUAAAGGUACGUUCUUCAUAACCUUCGUCCGAAACCCAUUAUGUCCUAAGGGAAAUAAUGCUUUGAGGGACGAAGGACUUUAACAUUUAACGAUUUUUGUGUUGCCUUGUUCUUAAUUCAUAGCAUUUAAGGACAAGUCCCCAACAUGAACCUACUUGAUUACUUGAAGCGUUUACUCGGCAUCUUGAACACAACCCUACACUAGGUGCGAAGUGUAUCUCGAUGAACACAUAAUGUGCAUUGACUCGACUUAUAAACAUAGAGGAAGCGAUGACUACUUUAGCAUGUCGCCACCUCUCUAUCUAAGCCAAAACAAUUUCUACCUACACCGACCGAACUUUCGUGUUGAGCACACCUUAUAUUACCUUGUCUCGCAUACAACCAUGUUGCGGCGUGUACUCGAGACACUUCUGUUCAAUUCAACGCAAUCACUACUACAACACACUUCGGCGCACAUGCUUGACAACAUUUAUCAACCAGACGAGUGAAACACCAAACUAAUUAUUCGCAGCUCUCGACCUCAAAACCCCAAUCAUAGGUCACAUAAUUUACAUUUUCAACCCAAUCUAACCUACAUCAACGAUGAAUACAUAAAAUAUAAUUAUCAAAGACUAGACUUAUUAGCCGACUGCGGAAGCCACCAAGCAUGCCUUGUGCUUUAUUAAAUUUUCCACAACUAACACACUACCUAACGACGACACCUUUUAAUAAUCCAUCAAUACAUUCGCGACCUAUCCUUGCAACACACAAAAGAACUAUCAUAGCCACACAUCCAUCCAAUCCAACAACAAAAUAACAUAUCAGCUCACCAUAUCAAACCCCGGUCGUGGUCGCUGCUCAGAUGGCGUGAAGACGAACGCGCCGUCGAGCACGGGAGACCGAAGUGAAGUCGGAGGAGCACGACGGGCACCGUGGGCGUGGCUAGAGGGAGCACAAGCCACGGAGGGGCUGCUGUGGCUGCCGGUUGGUGCGGCAAAACAGCAAGAACAACGACGUCACGAACAUAGCUUGAGCAUGGUGCAGAGGGGGGCUGCGCCAGCGAGGUUGACGACCAGUUAGGUAGCUCGUCGAGCACCUAGCGGAGCGCGUCACUGUGCGGGACAGCAGGGGAAAACUCGGCUGUGAGGGCCGGCUAUGGAAUGGACAAGGAGAUGGAGCUUGAUGAUGCGUGCAUAGCGAAGUUUGCCGAGCGCGUGCUACAGGGAACGACGACGUCCAGAUGGGGCUGCGCAACACAUCGAGCACCCGGCGGGCAUCACGGCGUGCUGUCCAUUGCGCAGCACCCCACCUAGACAUUUCGCCGAAUGCUUGGCACGCGCGCAGUGGUGGCAAUGAGACGAAGCAAGGGAAAGUCCCCGGGGCUGCAAGGGAAUCUCAGCGGCGAGGGGAUGCGCUGUCCCGGCUUGCUGCACCCUUGGGACAUUUUGUCGAACGACUUACAAGCACGGCGGCUUAUGGGCUUCACGUAGCAGCAUAAGGAGGAAGGGGGCGAGCUGCUACAAUGGAGGAAGGUUGUCGACCAUGGGGAAGAUGCAGGGGUGAGCUCACCAGCUGCUGCUGCUCUAUGGUUUGGGCAGAGACGAGGAAGAGAGGAGGGGAGCAGUGGGCAUUUGCUGCUGCAACAGGGAGAAAGGAGGGAGGGAGGGGGCGAGCACCACCAUUGGAGAGGGAGGGAGCUCGGCCACCAUUGCUGUGCUUGAGGAUGAAGAAGGGGGAGGAGGGGAGGGCGCCAUGGACAGGGAAGAAGUUUCCCGCGCCAUGAACAGAGAGGUGGGAGAGUUGUGUGUGAGAGGAAAAAUGGGAGAGGAGAGAGUGGCGGCUAGGGGUGGGAAAUGGAAAAUUUCCAAGCUGAAACAUAUUUAUAGCAGGUAAUUAGGGUUAGCUUUUUAGUGGGCUGGGCUGGGCUGGCACAAAACACUUAAUCGGGCUGCGCUAAUUAUUUCCAUUUUAUUUUAUGUCGUUCGAUUAAACACGGAUUAUCUGAACACUAAUUAUUACCCUCGUACGUAAUUUAGUCUGAUAACACGCACAACCUGGGUUAUGAACUUCAAGCGCAUUCUAAAUAUGACAUUAUAUUUUUAUUUUUCGAUGAGAGUUCAAUUUAGAUAGCGAUUAAAUCGGCUUUGGUUUUUUUUGCGGAGAAGCGAAUCGUGACAUUUUAAAAUCGCUGCCGGAGUGGGUUUUGAAUUUGGUUCAGACACAAAGAUACUAGGAUGAGUCGAGUAAGAAUUAAUUAGAGGACGACAUACUGAGUAUUCUGUUUGAGAGUACGGAUCCGGAUAAAAUAGUCAAACAUAGAUCAAAGUUCGAGGAAUUGGACUGGGGCUCAGAUCAAAUAACAGCCGUCGAGAGUUUGAUUAAAUGAGCUUUGGAUGAGAUUUACAAGUCAAGAAUGAUUUUCGAGUUUGCAUUCGUCUCGAGAAAUAAAAGUUUUAACAGGCUCCAAAUUUGGCCUCACUCUCUCGCGAUCGAAUAAAAUCAGAGAUCGGUGAAACCUUCACACGUAACUUGAUAAAAGGAGAUAGAUACGAUCGAGAAAUAGAAAUUUUUACUAAGCAUCCGAGAUUAGGAUAAAUCUCCUGACAUAACACGAAAUAGACACCUGGGGUGUCACAUUUAAAAAUAUAUUUAUUUAUAUUUUUAAAUAGAAAAGAAAAGAAAAAAACCGAAAACCCUAAACCUAACAGGCCAUUUCGGCCCAUCAGGCCCAUCAGCCGCUGCUGCCCCUAUUGCCUCCCCCUCUCUCACCGACCAGUGGGGCCCACCCGUGGCCCCUCUCCUUCGUCUCCCUCCCGCGCCCGGCCGAGCCACGCCACGCCAGCUCCUCGAUGUCUGCGCCCGUCCGUUUCCCCGAACCGGAAUCUGCCAGCCUCGUUUCCCUCUCUCCCUCCCCCACUUCCCUCUCCUUCAAGCCGGUAACGGCCGAGUUAUUGGCCGCCUCCAUUGAUGGCGUUGAUGGCCGACCGUCUCUCUCUCCCCCUCGGCUCUCCCUCUCCUCCCCUCUCUCUAUAAAAACCGCUCGAGCUGCCUCCUCUCUCCCUACCCGAGCUCUCUGCCUCACUCCUCGCGCUCUCUCUCCCUCGCCGAACCGCCGACCACCGGAGCCUCGCCGUCCGCGCCCGCUCGCUGUCGAGCCUCGCCAUACGCGCCUCGCCCCGCCUAGGCCACGCUCAUUCCCUACCCGACCAAGACCACCGUGCCCUGCUACCCUGCUCGCCGAGCUCCAUCCGUGCGUGUGAGCAAGAGCUCAUGGUAGAAGAAGCACAUUUUGCAUUUUAGUCCCUGCAUGUAAAUAAAAUUAAUUCCGAGAUUUUCAGUUCAGAAACUAUUGAAAAGAGACCCCGAUGUAUAUGCUAAAUCGUGAACUAGCCCCUGCAACAAUAUUUUGACACGAGUAUUAUUUUAUUUUUCAAAAACAAAUAAUGUCACUAUUCACUAACUUGGUGAUUUAAAUAUUAGAAACGUUCACGAUUAACUUCGCUUUAGCACAUGGAACAAUAUUUGUUAGUAGUAAUUUAAGUAUUUUAUUGAUAUAAGAAUGUAGAAGAAAUACUAGGCCACGUAUUUUUGGUCAGAUUAAAAAUAUAGGUUUUACUAGUCAUGAUUAAUGUAUUCAUAUGUAUAGCACUUAAUUACUUAGAAUUAGUAAAAUAUUUCUUUAUGUCAAAAUCAUCAUGAUUAUAUUACUAAAGUCCAAUUAGUAGUCUACAUUAACUCUUGGAAUAUUAAUGUUAGGUGAUUUAGAAAUAAACAUUUUUAGCUAUACGUAAAAUUUCUAUCUAGAAAGAAAAGGAUAAAACCCAAAAGUCUAUUAUUAGUAAUAAAAACAAUUAUUUUCCGUAAAGUUUGUUAAGUCAUUUUUAUUUACAUUAUACUAGAUAAACUAGCGUCAUAGUCACCUACUCAUAUUUCCACCAAUGAUAACUCAAAGUAGAAGCCAUAGUGGAUUAAUAAGUAUUUAUGCUUUGGACGUAUUUAUGAGUAUAGUUGUGUGAUGUAUGAAUGUAUAUGUAAUGGUGAAUGAUUACCCAUGUAAUGGUGUAUGUUUAUUUAUUUGGCGUACGUAUUCUUUUGUAUGUACGAUACGCAAAUCGAUGCUAGAAGUUGACUAUGAGGUAGACGAACCAAACACGUUCGAUGACGACCCAUAGGACACUUUCGAGCAAGGCAAGUGGAUUCUCCCUCUGCAUUUCUAUUUGUACCUAAAUAAUGCAUACAAUAAUGUUUACUUUUGGAUAUAUAUUGCAUAAUUUGAUGGGAUUUUCCUAAAUAAGGAUUUCCUAGAAUUACCAACCCUAUUCCUUGAAUUACCCUGGGAUAAAUGCUAUGCUUAGCAAUUUUUGCUAUUGCUCAACUUGAUAAAUAUGUUGUCACUCUUUUAAAUGAUACUAUGUUUCGGAAAUGAAGUUUUAUUAUGAGGUUAACCCGAUGGUUAAACAAGAACAUUUUUUGUUAAAUGGAACAUGGAGUGACCACCUAGGAUAACAGUGUAACCACGAGUGCUAUAAUGGCUCUGGCUUUGGUAAUUAGCUCUAUAGACUUAGUGCUUAGCAACCCUACCUAAAAGAUGGGCAAGAGGGGGUGGCAGUGGUUUGGUGGUAGCUCAUGUUAACAUGGGGUGGUAGUCUUGGCUAAGUUACCUCACCCAAAGAGCCAUCAAUACUGACGUGGAAACCUUAGCAGGUGGCUUUGUACUAAGUAUAUUUUGUGAAGGCCUCAUAAUGGAUCCCUAGCCAUUCACCUCGGCAAUGUUUAUGGGUCCGAUCAACCUAGGCUAGAUGGGAUACAUGGCUUGUGGGUAAAGUUGUACCACCUCUGCACAGUGUAAAACUGAUAUGUCAACCGUGCUCACGGUUAAGAGCAACCUGGACCCUCACAUGAUAAUUGAACUUAAAGAUGGAAAAUAAAUCGUGAUAUGAGGAUCUACCAGUGGUUUGAUUAAGUGAUUACACUUAAGUGUUUUUGAUACAAUCUUAUGCCUUUGAUUAAUUGGGAUAUUUGGGAUACACACUUAUUAGUAAGACAGGUGUUGCUAAUAAAAUAUUGACCAACUAAAAUGCUUACCACUUAUCCAUAGCCUACCUUGUUAACAUGCAUUAAUUUCCCCCACUUGCUGAGCCCCGACCAUAAGUGAGAUCACCCUUGCUAAUAUUUUGAUUAGAUGGUGAUGACGGAGACUUCGCAGAUGACGUUGAUGAGUUUUGAGUGUAACGAUGCGCCAGUCACCUUCCUGUGGAAGAGUGUCCAUGUUUAGUUCUGCCGUACUUUGAUUAUGAUACUUGUUAAGAUACAAUGUUUUGGAUGAUGUAAUAAAGUUACUCUACUCUCUUUACGCCUUUAUUGCAUUGUAUUUUGAUAUAUUACACUUGCGACAUCAACAUAUGUGUGGAAAAUGGAUCCUGGCCCACAUAUUCUAUGCAUUCGGUUUUGCCCCCAGAACUAGGUGUGGCAAUAUGUUGAGUUAUUUCAAAGAUAGAAGCAGUACAAACGUUAAUUUCAAACAAAAAUGGAACACGAAUUGGAUAAGUACUUCAAAUCAUAUGGCGUGUUUCCUGUGAUUCCAUGCAACGACUGAUUCAAAUUCCAUAUUUCUUGAGUUGUAGGAAUCAUUGUACAACUAAGAGGGAUCCACAAAGGUAACGGUGUUGGCAAAGCUCAAGUUUCUCUGUUUCAAAAGCUUAUUUCAAAAAAAAACAAAUCUUUGGACCUUUCGUGCGAGUCCAACUGGUUCGAGGUUUUGUUGUUGGACUUCCUCUCUGGUCAAAGGCACUUGAACCUACCCUCAGGCGUAGGUCAACUCGCCCAAGCCAAUGGAGCUCUCUGCUCAAAACGGGUUGAACUGACCCAAGGGUGGUUCAACCGAGUUUUCACCAUAGACCUCUUUGCUCAAACCCAGUUGAGUCGGCCCCUUUGGAGUUGUUCAACCACUAUCUCAGCAGUUGGUCGUUUUGCCAAACCUUGUAGCACAGUCUGGCAGCUGUAUUGUAAAGGAGGUUGAACCGGCCAGCUAGUGGCGGCUCAACUAUCCCUCGGUCAGAGGACCAUUCUGCAAAGUCCUGCUAAAUAGGCAGUUGAAUGGGCCCUUAGGGGCGGUUCAACCAGGGUAGGAUGAUUGAACUCCCCAAUUGAGUUGGCUUGUUGAACCAAGUUUAGUUUUGCUAAAAACUAGUUCAAUUGGCUUUGGGGUGUAGUUCAACCGCAUUUCACGCAAAAAGUUCGAACAGUCAACCCCAUUUGAGAGGCCCCUAUAUAUACACUCUCCUCUCUCUCUCCCCCCUCAUUUACUCCGGCUAACCAACACAUUCAUUGUUCACCAAACUUGAGACAAAAAGCUCUAACUUUUUCUCUCACACCCCAACUCUCUCCCUCGUCGAUGUUUGAGGCUAAAACCAGUUCAAUUGAUUGAAGGAGCCUUGGUGUGAGGUUUGAGUUCUUUGAUUUCAGACAUGGUUUUUGAUCUCCCUCCUCUUUAUCCAUCCCUUGAGCUUGUUGCAAACACUCUCUUGUGUGGGUUUGUUACUCUUUGAACCUCGUGUUCCAUGACGGUUGAGGUUGCUUAGGAGUCUCUGAAUUUGUGGACGACCCGAAGAAGUUUGUAUCACAUGCUCUUUGAGCAAGUUUGAGAAAGUGGUUGCAUUGACCUUGGUGGUCAGCCUGUGAAGGGCUAGGGCUGGAAAAGACCGGGCCGUAUGUGGGCUGCUCAACAGGGAUUAGGGCACCUUUGUGGUGUGGCCGAACCUUGGCAUAAAUCUCGUGUAUUUGUGUUGUUGCUUUGUUCAUGCGCUGCACUUUAUCUUUGUUAAGAAAGACAUCGAGCGAUUCGUUGUGUGUGUGGAUUUUCACUUAGAUUAUGCCCUGUGUUUUUCGAUUCAAAGAAUCUCUCAUUAUACUUCAUGUUGUUCUUAGCUAGAUCUAUUCUCUCAACUGGACUAGUUCAACAGCCCCUAGUAGCGUUUCAACCGGCCUACACUAAACUAUUGAUUUGACAUCAUUUCCAAGUUUUUGGUGAAUUUUUUAGGUGUAGCCUAUUUACCCCCUUCUGGGCUACUUUCAAUGGUGAAAAUAGUGAAGUUUUAUAUGGAGCUCAUCGGGUGUUCACUGUAAUGUCUGAAUCAAAAUCGCCACAUUCUAUCACAAGCCAUUCCCACCAAGAAAUCCAUGAGAUAAUAUUUGUAAAAUAGCAUCAUUUAGUCCAAUGUUGGUUAUGGAACCAAUUCCUAUAAUUAUGAAACCCAUGUGAGAUGCAGAGGAGUAGGCUAUUCUUUUUUUAAAAAAAUCAAUGACCAAGAGAGGUUAAAACUGCAUAGAUUAUUUGCACUGCUCCUAUUAUUACCAACCAAGGGGAAAAUAAACAAUGAGCAUGUGGUAACAAUUCCAUAUUGAACCUUAUCAAUCCAUAUCCUCCCAUUUUAAUAGAAUGCUGGCUAAAAGCAUACAUGUACUGUAAUGUGCUUCCCGAUGGGUAUCUGGUAACCAAGUAUGUUAAGCUAUUAUCGUGAAUUUGAUACCAUAAGCAAUAAGGAAACCAAAAUACAAAGCCGUUUUCGUGGAUUUUGACUUAGAUUUAUUAUUGCACAGACUUAGAGUAGCUCAUAGAAAAAGUUUGAUUCUAUUUAGAACAUGUUCAAUUAGUUAACAAUGUUUUGCUUAAUUUGAAGUACUUUUUCCUUUAACAAAGAAAUAACAUAAUAGAAGUAAUAAAAUAAUUAAUUUGUUGUGCUGGUUUUGGGAUUGUAUGAAUUCCAUUGAUCCCAAACACCUAAGUUGAUCCAUGGCAUAUGCAUAAUGUUGUCUAGAACCCUACUUAACUUGAUUAGCGAAAUAAUUAGGUUUUAUCGGAAAUCAAAUGCAACUUUACUGUGAAGGAAAGUUGUACUCAAGGUUUUGUCGUUUUAGAUUAUUUAUCUUGCACCUAUGUUCAUUCCAUCAUCACAUCAUGAUCAUAUCAUGCAACUUUACUUUACACGUAGAUUAUGUUACGACGAAUCGGUCAUAUUGUGAAGUAAUUCCCAGAGCCUUGUCUUCACUCAAUGGAACUAUUGGGUUUUCUUGGUCAUCUACUCUACACUACAACUAAUGCAAGCCCUAGUGCAUUCAACCCUGUUCCUUGUGUUUUAUAAAACUUUUACCCUAAAUAUAAUGCUUGAUGCAUUUAAGUUAGUAGGAAUUGGUUGAAUACUCGUUGUUGCAUGACUACCCUAGAAUUUCAAUACCUGUUCUUGUUACCGCUUUUGAAAAUGUUGUAAUCUAGAGGUGUAGCCUUGCAUAGCUCUAGAAGAUAGGGUUAACUUUGAAUUCUAUAAAGGCUCCCCAUUCUCCAACCCCUCAUAAAUCACUUCUCAUACUAUUUGCCAAACAAUUUUUGUUAGAUAGGUUCACUUCUGUUAGAGAAUCCCUCAGAAUCGCUCUAUUAGAGAAUCAACUCUCUAGCUACAGAAUCAUGGAGUAGAGCUCUAUCAAACGAGGACUUUUGAAACAAAAACCUAAACUCAUUUGUUGUAAUAGUAUUUUGAAAUAUAACUUUGAAAAUUUGGUUUUGAAAAAAGAGAAAAAGCCUUUUGGAGAUUUAGUUGAUGUUUUUGAAACUCUUUCUCCACAUAGUGAAAUUAAUGAAAAGGCAAGAAAUCCAAAAACAUAUAUGUUUCAAAUUAUAGGAAUUCUACAAAAUUCCAUAUAAUUCUCAAACAAACUAGCUAAACAAAUGUAUAAAACCUUUUAUAAAAACAAUAGAAAUUUAGUUAGUGUUGUCUAUUGAAAUUGCAAGAUGAUAACAUUGGUUCUACUAGGAUUAUGCGCAAAGGUAGCGACUUAUUCAAUCCAUGAGAACUUUAUUUAGCAUAUAUCAUCUAUAUAUAGGAGUCGCGCGGUUGGACGUUAUAUGAAUCACCUUGGAUCGAAUAAAACCAAUUAUUUGUUUUAUUUUUCCAUCGCUUAUAUAUAUAUAUGCACCAGAGAUUUUUGUGUUACCCUUGCAUAUAUGCAUGCAUGCAUGUGGAAUGAAUCCAAGUCUAAAAUUAGGCGCCUAAUGGUGACCUUCCAUAUAUUAGACACCUUAAUUAUUUGAAUUGGAUUUUGGAUGCAAACUAGCUUAUUAGCUAUCUAUAUAUAACAAGAUUAAAGAAGAAGACAGACAACCUAAUUAAAGAAUUUGAGGAGAGAAAGAAAGAAAGAGUGAUCGUCAUGGAGAGCAGGAGGAAGAAUCAACAGAAGACGAGCUACAUUGUAAUUUCCAUCCAGCUCCUAGCGGCCCUCCUACUCUUGGAGCUUGUGUCGCUAGUGCCGGGGGCGUCAUGCGAGGAGUUGCCCUUGGAUUUUUGGGUGAGUGCACUACGCGGGGUCGGGGCAAAGGACGUUUCAACAGCCGAUGGAUGCACCAAGAAGAAUAAGGACACCGUGCUCUGCUCUGCCCAGGCUAACACGGUAACCAAUUUCAUCAACCCUACCAACUCUGAGGAACAAGGCUAUAGGACCAUCGGGGAGUCCAUCGCUAACAUCCCUGAUGAUAGCACCAAACGGUACAUCCUCAUCCUCAGCGGUGGCACCGUGUACCGAGAGAAGGUAUUGGUGAGCAAAAGCAAGCCAUUCGUCACCAUAAGAUCAGAUGACCCCAUCAACCCUGCCAUCAUUGUGUGGAACGACACUGCCGCCACCCUGGGGAAGGAUAGCAAGCCCCUUGGAGUAGAUGGUAGUAGCACCAUGACCGUAGAGUCCGACUACUUCAUUGCCUAUGGUGUCGUCUUUAGGAAUGAUGCUGCAGCAGCAGCGAAGAAGAAGAAGGCAGAAGGCGAGGCGCCAGCGUUGCGGGUGCUAGGAACAUGUAAUACUCAAAUUUGUAUACACAGAAUACAGAGUAAAUUCCUCAAUUUCAUGUGCCAUAUUUGCAUCCUAGGAAAAGAGCACACACACAACUUAGAGAUUUAUUUAAACAAAUGAGAAAAAAAAAAUGCAUCAUGCUGGUUUUCAUUUUGUGUGCAUUUUGUGACAAUAUAACAAUAAUGUAAAAAAAAUAUGUUAAUACCCAAAUUAGGAUUUAAAUCCUAAAGAAGAUUCUAAUGUUGAAACAAGAGAAGAAAAUACCUUCAUAUAAGAUCAAAUAAAUAUAUAACUUAACCAAACCAGGUUCAUAUUGGUAUUUGGAAUUAUAGAGUGGAUUAAGGAUGAACUUCACACCUACAAAUUCAAAAUUUGGAAUUUAAUUUGAAUUUGAAGAAAAUAAGUAAAGGAAUAGGAAAAAUAAAAUAGAAAAGAAUAAAAUGGCGCAUUGGGCUCCCUGCUAUGAAUUUGGCCCACUAAGGAAUAACCCCUCGCGCGGCCCAACUACGACGCCUUGAGUGCGCCACGCCCCAGCGGACACCGACGGGCGGGCCCGGCCGCCAGCCGCUGUGCGGUCACGCUCCCCCGUCCCUGUGUCGCUGCCAGGUAGGCCCCUGCUGUCAGCGCUUUCUCCUCAACCGAAAGCUAUACUCCUCGCGAUCUCGGCGUGGAGCUCGCCCACCUCCGGGGUUUACGCCGACGACAAGUCCCAGCACCGCGGUAUAAAGUGUACCAUGCCCCGUGCUGACUUUUCCUCCUCCCCUGUGCUGCGCGCUCCCGUGAACCUUCCACAUACCCGCGCCGCGGAAUCCACACCGUCGGUAGAAACAUCGCCGCGCCACUCCUCGGGUUGCCGGCUCGGGCCACAUUUUCACCGUUUGGGUACGCUGUGGUGGUCCUCCCUGGUGUAGCGGGUCGGUUCGUCGCGAAGCCAGGCGGAAUCCCUGACUGUGGCGCCGGGAAUUCGACGCCGCCAUUGCAAAUCCGCGGAUCGUCGUGGGCGGACCUGGUGACGACAGGAAUCGUGGUGAGAACACAUGUCCCAAGUUCGCUACCUUCCCAAUUUCGUUUUGCAUCCGGGUUACGAGGGGGUCGGGUACCAGGGAACGCUGUUGGCAUUCCGGCCAUGGCCGCCGCCGCGCUGGCCUUGCGCGCCGCUGCGCUGGGUGGUCAGGCGGGGACGAUGCCCAUCCACCGUCGGAUCGCGCACGGGCGAUCGAGAUUAGACGAGGGAAUACCGGUUGCUGGCUUUGGUCGGAACCGUUGAUCGCCUGGUGCGCGGUCCAGAUUUAAUGGCAGAUGUCGUCUGGUCUGAAGUAGCGUGGCCGUCCGAUUCAGAUCGGACAUGCGAGGAUCGGUUUAGAGAUUUUAAAUCCGGGGCGUCGGGAUCAGAUCGGAGGGUGUAUAGCGCAUACCGGUUCACGUGAGUGGUGAGUCAAUCUGGGCGGUUGGUUUCUAAUCCAACGGCCAUAAUCGACCGAUACCCCUUCGCCAUGCCAUUUUGCAGAAAAGACCUUAUAAAUUUAGAGAAUCAACCCGCCAUCCACGCCAGGGACUCUCUGAGUCUUAGAAACACUUACACCGAGACCCCUGCGCUUUGCAGAUUUUGACGCCCAGUCCAGAGACUUAGAAAAUCAGAGAAAUAAAUACAUAAAUUGAUUUUUAAUAUAUAAAUAGGUGUUAGAAUUUGUAUAAAUCAUAGAAAAUGCAUAUGAACUCCAAAUUGGUCCAUUCCAGUUCCUAAAUUUUUGUAAUAAUAUUGCCUACCCAUUAGUGCCUUUGUUCUGGCAUGACAAACACAUUAAAAUUAUUCUUUCACUUAAUCUUAUAUUAAGUGCAUAAAACAUUAGAAAAUCCAUAACUUAAGAUCUAUAACUCCAAAUUUAAUGAUUCCAGUUCCUAUGAUCUUAUUUUAAUGUCUAGUUUAUUACUGUAUAUUUUAUUUGAAUGUUUGAUGUGAUGUUAAUUUGUGCUAUACUAUGUAUGUAUUGUGUUGAUGCGAAUAGACGAGCAAGCCACUGUGGAAACUGAGGUUCAGCAAGUAGAAACUGCUGAGCAGGAGCUCGUGGAAGGCAAGUUGUGCCCUUGAUCACUUCUUUUACCCAUUCAUGUUCUUAUUAUUCAUAAUGAUCUGCAUAGGAUAAUUUUGCUGGGACCCAAUAGGAUGCCCUAGAUUUUGACUAUCUUUAUACCUUGUUUCACCACUGGUUUUACUACUAAAUUUUUGGGUAGUACAUGCUAUUGCUUUAUGUGGCUUUGGGUAUAAAGAUAUUCAUCACUCAUUGUUAUUCUUUUUAUUAUCUGUUUAUUAUUAUUAUUCAUGAUAAGAUCAUUAUGUUAAUGGGAACAUGGAGAACCACCCGGGAAAACAGUGCUACCACAAGGGUAUAAUGGGACGCCCUUGGCUGAUUAACUAGGAAAGCUAGUGGAGGGCUGCCUUACCCGAAAGGGGCAAGGGCAGUAGGGGAGUGGUCAGUGUAGGGAGGUCCCUGGUUGAUUUUGCUGCGAUGGCAGUCAGUCAGGAACCCUGCAUUGGAACUUUCUAUAAACUGUAGCGGGUAGUCUGAAGCUAGUGGAACUUUGUAAAGGCCUCGUAGUGGUACCCUGCCUCGCUUCCUAGGUAGAGGUGUAUGGAGUCUGAUCAACUCCGUGGCAAAUGGGUAACACGACUUGUGGGUAAAGAUGCGCAACCUCUGCAGAGUGUAAAACUGGUAUACUAGCCGUGCUCACGGUCAUGAGCGGCUCGGACACUCACAUGAUUAAAUUAUGGAACUUAAACUUAAUCUGUCAUUUCAUUGCAUGUGGGAUUAUUUUAUUAUUACUUUUAUUUAUAUUUACUAUGGUUUGGUAUUCACUUACACUUAGUAACUGCUAAUAAAAUUUUGACCAACUUCUAAAAGCAAUGCUCAGCUUCAGCCUUUAUUUCAUUGAUCAGCCUUACACUUCAUGAACUCCCACCUUUGGUGAGUUCAUGUCACAUUAUUCCCCACAACUUGUUGAGCGAUGAACGUAUGUGAACUCACUCUUGCUGUCUCACACCCCCCCACAGGAGAAGAACAGGUGGUUCAGGAGGAGCCACAAGGCGAGGAGUAUGAUCUGUUCUAGGUGGCGUUUCUCAGUCGACAUUUGCGCCGACGAUCCUUAGUUCGUUUUAUGUUUAUUCUUUUAUUUUGUAUUAAGUCUUCCGCUAUGUAAUAAAUACUCUGAUGUUUUAUGACAUUUAUCUCUAUACACUCUGUUAUUAUAUAUGUUGUCUUCUUUGGCGCAUGUAUGAGAUGCACCCGGCUUUGUUCCUUAAAACCGGGUGUUACAGAAGUGGUAUCAGAGGAAAUGUUGACUGUAGGACGAAACCUAGAUAGAAAUGGACAAACCCUUACCUACUUAUCUUAUUCUGAUUCAUUCUAUACUUACCUUACUCUGAUUCUUUCUAUACUUAUCUCAUCUUGAUCCUAUCUCACCUUUUGCUACUCUACUCUGAUUAAUCUUUUCUUUUCUACUCUAAGACAAGAUGGAUUUCACACCUUGGAAUCCUACCACUAUGAUCUUUUUAAGAGAUAGGGAACCCAAGACAAAAAUUAAAACUAUUUUCUUUAAAAUGUUGUUUGAUUGUUCUGAUGACAAAUGCCUGAUUUGCUUCUUUGAUUGAUUGAAACAUUAUAGUUGGGCAUCUUAGCAUGUACCACCAUAAGGUAAUGUAUUAGCUUUAGUGGAUAACACACUACUCUACUUAGCCAAUAAAUCACCCGCAGUAACAUUUAUCGUAAAUAAUCGCCUUGUCUACAAUUCUUCCUUUCUUACCCUAUAUUCCUAACCCAAAUGUGCUACCCCUAUACUGUUAGAAGAGAGCAGUAUAGAUUUGAUCCUUGGUAUGUCAUGGUUAAGAAAGGCAAAGACAGUUUAUACACUGUGCUAAAGGAACCGUAGAACUCACCAGUUCCAAAGGACAAAGAUUUGAAGUUGAAGUUGCAGUAACCAUCACCAUCGGACUAGUGACAUUCUUAGUAGAUGAGAAGUUGGUGGGUGACAACAUCCGUACAGUUAGAGAUUUUCCGGAUGUCUUUCCAGAGGAGUUACCAGGGAUGCCACCUGAUAGAGAAGUUGAGUUUGUUAUUGAUCUCUUACCUGGAACCGCCCCUAUUUCUAAACGGCCAUAUAGAAUGUCCGUAGAGGAGUUGAAGGAACUGAAGAAGCAGUUGACGGAGUUACAAGAGGCUGGUUACAUUCGUCCGAGUUCCUCACCUUGGGGAGCACCGGUUUUGUUUGUACAGAAGAAGGAUGGAUCUCAGCGGAUGUGUGUGGACUAUAGAUCACUUAAUGAUGUUACAGUGAAGAACAAGUAUCCGUUACCCCGUAUAGAGGAUUUGUUUGAUCAAAUGCGAGGUGCUAGAGUGUUCUCGAAGAAUUGAUCUCCGAUCGGGUUACCAUCAGAUGAGGAUUAGGCCAUCGGAUAUUCCCAAGACAAUUUUAUCGACCCGAUAUGGUUUAUAUGAGUUCACUGUUAUGUUAUUUGGAUUAACUAAUGCACCAGCCUAUUUUAUGGAUAUGAAGAAUAAGGUGUUCAUGAUCUGGACAGAUUCGUCGUGGUUUUCAUUGAUGAUGUUCUUAUUUAUUCCAAGAGUGAUAGUGAUCAUAUGGAACAUCUGAUAUUGGUGCUACAGAAGCUACGAGAUAAUCAACUCUACGCUAAGUUCAGUAAGUGCGAGUUUUGGAUUGAUAAGGUGCCAUUUUUGGGACAUAUUAUUUCUAAUGGAGGAAUAGCAGUGGAUCCUGCUAAAGUGAAGGAGAUAAUGGAGUGGAGAGUGCCCAAUACAGUUACUGAGAUUCGGAGUUUCUUGGGACUCGCAGGAUAUUAUCGGAGAUUUAUUGAAGGAUUUUCUAAGGUUGCUAAGCCUAUGACUUCGCUUUUGGAGAAAGGGAGAGAAUUCAAGUGGGAUGAGAAGUGCCAAGAAAGCUUUGAACAACUAAAGGAGAGAUUGAUGUCUCCACCGGUGUUGGUUAUGCCAGAUCUACAUAAAGGAUUUGAUGUUUAUUGUGAUGCAUGUGGCCAAGGACUUGGAUGUGUGCUCAUGCAAGAAGGACAUGUGAUUGCCUAUGCAUCUCGUCAGUUGCGGAAACAUGAAUUGAACUACCCCACUCAUGACUUGGAGCUGGCUGCCGUUGUGCAUACACUUAAGAUUUGGAGACACUACAUUAUGGGAACUAAGUGCCAAGUAUACACAGAUCAUAAGAGCUUGAAGUACAUAUUCACUCAGAAGGAUCUCAACCUUAGGCAACGCCGUUGGUUGGAGCUCAUUAAGGAUUAUGAUUUGGAGAUUCACUAUCAUCCAGGCAAGGCGAAUUUGGUUGCAGAUGCCUUGAGUCGGAAGGAGCACGUUCAUUCUGCCUUCGUUGUCCAACUACCCGAUGAAUUGGCAAAAGAUUUUGAGAGACUCAACCUGGGAAUUGUUACACAUACAGAAGGAGUGACUAUUGAAUUGGAACCUACCUUGGAGCAAGAGAUUCGCAAAGGUCAGGUUGGUGAUGCUAAGAUUCAAGAGAUUAAGGAUCUGAUCACGGAUGGUCGAGUUCCGGAAUUCACGGAGGAUGAGCAAGGUACUAUAUGGUUCAAAGAUCGGAUAUGUGUUCCAGAGAUUGAUAGCCUCCGUGAGACUAUAUUGAAAGAAGCUCAUGAUUCUGAUUACUCAAUCCACCCUGGUAGCACUAAGAUGUAUCAGGAUUUGAAGCAAAAGUAUUGGUGGUAUGGACUGAAAAGAGAUGUUGCUGCUCAUGUGGCUAAGUGUGAUGUGUGUCAAAGAGUUAAGGCCGAACAUCGAAGACCAGUUGGACUAUUGCACCCGUUGAAGAUACCCGAGUGGAAAUGGGAAGAGAUUGGUAUGGAUUUUAUUGUUGGACUACCCCGCACCCCUGCUGGGUAUGACUCUAUUUGGGUGAUUGUAGACAGAUUGACAAAAGUGGCUCAUUUUAUACCUGUGAGGACUAAUUAUACGGGAGCCAAGCUAGCAGAAUUGUAUAUGACUCGGAUAGUUUGCCUACAUGGAGUACCUAAGAAGAUCGUGUCUGAUCGAGGAUCACAGUUUACUUCUCGAUUUUGGAAGAAGUUGCAUGAGAGCUUGGAUACAAAGUUGAAUUUUAGUUCGGCCUACCAUCCUCGGACUGAUGGAUAGACUAAAAGGACUAAUCAAGUACUGGAGGAUAUGUUAAGAGCUUGUGCUCUCAAGCAUGGUGGCAGUUGGGAGAAGAGCUUACCAUAUGCUGAGUUUUCUUAUAAUAAUAGCUACCAGGCCAGUUUGAAGAUGUCACCAUUUGAGGCUCUAUAUGGCAGAAAGUGCAGGACUCCACUGUAUUGGGAUCAGACUGGUGAAAGACAGAUCUUUGGGCCUGAACUUAUUUAAGAGGCAGAAGAACAAGUCCGUAUAAUUCGAGAGAAUUUGAAGGUAGCUCGGACCAGGCAAAAGAGCUACGCUGAUAAUAGAAGAAGACCACUCGAAUUGAGGAAAGUGAUCAUGUGUACCUCAAGGUGUCACCACUUCGUGGAAUGAGGAGAUUUAAAGUCAAGGACAAAUUGUCCCCUCGCUUUAUUGGACCCUUCUUAAUCUUAAAGCGAGUGGGAGAGGUUGAUACCAAUUGGAGUUACCGGAUCAUCUUGCGGAUGUUCAUGAUGUAUUUCACGUAUCUCAGCUGAAGAAAUGUCUCAGGGUACCUGAGGAACAACUACCAAUGGAAGACCUUAGUGUUCAAGAGGAUCUAACUUAUGCUGAGUACCCCAUCAAGAUUUUGGAUACUUUGACUCGAGUCACGAGGAAUAAGGUUAUAAAGAUGUGCAAAGUGCAAUGGAGCCACCACAGUGAAGAUGAAGCAACUUGGGAAAGAGAAGAAGAGCUUCGUAUAGAUUUUCCCCACCUUUUCCCUAGAUCUUCUUAAAUCUCGAGGACGAGAUUAUUUUUAAGGGGGGUAGGAUUUGUAAUACUCAAAUUUGUAUACACAGAAUACAGAGUAAAUUCCUCAAUUUCAUGUGCCAUAUUUGCAUCCUAGGAAAAGAGCACACACACAACUUAGAGAUUUAUUUAAACAAAUGAGAAAAAAAAAUGCAUCAUGCUGGUUUUCAUUUUGUGUGCAUUUUGUGACAAUAUAACAAUAAUGUAAAAAAAAUAUGUUAAUACCCAAAUUAGGAUUUAAAUCCUAAAGAAGAUUCUAAUGUUGAAACAAGAGAAGAAAAUACCUUCAUAUAAGAUCAAAUAAAUAUAUAACUUAACCAAACCAGGUUCAUAUUGGUAUUUGGAAUUAUAGAGUGGAUUAAGGAUGAACUUCACACCUACAAAUUCAAAAUUUGGAAUUUAAUUUGAAUUUGAAGAAAAUAAGUAAAGGAAUAGGAAAAAUAAAAUAGAAAAGAAUAAAAUGGCGCAUUGGGCUCCCUGCUAUGAAUUUGGCCCACUAAGGAAUAACCCCUCGCGCGGCCCAACUACGACGCCUUGAGUGCGCCACGCCCCAGCGGACACCGACGGGCGGGCCCGGCCGCCAGCCGCUGUGCGGUCACGCUCCCCCGUCCCUGUGUCGCUGCCAGGUAGGCCCCUGCUGUCAGCGCUUUCUCCUCAACCGAAAGCUAUACUCCUCGCGAUCUCGGCGUGGAGCUCGCCCACCUCCGGGGUUUACGCCGACGACAAGUCCCAGCACCGCGGUAUAAAGUGUACCAUGCCCCGUGCUGACUUUUCCUCCUCCCCUGUGCUGCGCGCUCCCGUGAACCUUCCACAUACCCGCGCCGCGGAAUCCACACCGUCGGUAGAAACAUCGCCGCGCCACUCCUCGGGUUGCCGGCUCGGGCCACAUUUUCACCGUUUGGGUACGCUGUGGUGGUCCUCCCUGGUGUAGCGGGUCGGUUCGUCGCGAAGCCAGGCGGAAUCCCUGACUGUGGCGCCGGGAAUUCGACGCCGCCAUUGCAAAUCCGCGGAUCGUCGUGGGCGGACCUGGUGACGACAGGAAUCGUGGUGAGAACACAUGUCCCAAGUUCGCUACCUUCCCAAUUUCGUUUUGCAUCCGGGUUACGAGGGGGUCGGGUACCAGGGAACACUGUUGGCAUUCCGGCCAUGGCCGCCGCCGCGCUGGCCUUGCGCGCCGCUGCGCUGGGUGGUCAGGCGGGGACGAUGCCCAUCCACCGUCGGAUCGCGCACGGGCGAUCGAGAUUAGACGAGGGAAUACCGGUUGCUGGCUUUGGUCGGAACCGUUGAUCGCCUGGUGCGCGGUCCAGAUUUAAUGGCAGAUGUCGUCUGGUCUGAAGUAGCGUGGCCGUCCGAUUCAGAUCGGACAUGCGAGGAUCGGUUUAGAGAUUUUAAAUCCGGGGCGUCGGGAUCAGAUCGGAGGGUGUAUAGCGCAUACCGGUUCGCGUGAGUGGUGAGUCAAUCUGGGCGGUUGGUUUCUAAUCCAACGGCCAUAAUCGACCGAUACCCCUUCGCCAUGCCAUUUUGCAGAAAAGACCUUAUAAAUUUAGAGAAUCAACCCGCCGUCCACGCCAGGGACUCUCUGAGUCUUAGAAACACUUACACCGAGACCCCUGCGCUUUGCAGAUUUUGACGCCCAGUCCAGAGACUUAGAAAAUCAGAGAAAUAAAUACAUAAAUUGAUUUUUAAUAUAUAAAUAGGUGUUAGAAUUUGUAUAAAUCAUAGAAAAUGCAUAUGAACUCCAAAUUGGUCCAUUCCAGUUCCUAAAUUUUUGUAAUAAUAUUGCCUACCCAUUAGUGCCUUUGUUCUGGCAUGACAAACACAUUAAAAUUAUUCUUUCACUUAAUCUUAUAUUAAGUGCAUAAAACAUUAGAAAAUCCAUAACUUAAGAUCUAUAACUCCAAAUUUAAUGAUUCCAGUUCCUAUGAUCUUAUUUUAAUGUCUAGUUUAUUACUGUAUAUUUUAUUUGAAUGUUUGAUGUGAUGUUAAUUUGUGCUAUACUAUGUAUGUAUUGUGUUGAUGCGAAUAGACGAGCAAGCCACUGUGGAAACUGAGGUUCAGCAAGUAGAAACUGCUGAGCAGGAGCUCGUGGAAGGCAAGUUGUGCCCUUGAUCACUUCUUUUACCCAUUCAUGUUCUUAUUAUUCAUAAUGAUCUGCAUAGGAUAAUUUUGCUGGGACCCAAUAGGAUGCCCUAGAUUUUGACUAUCUUUAUACCUUGUUUCACCACUGGUUUUACUACUAAAUUUUUGGGUAGUACAUGCUAUUGCUUUAUGUGGCUUUGGGUAUAAAGAUAUUCAUCACUCAUUGUUAUUCUUUUUAUUAUCUGUUUAUUAUUAUUAUUCAUGAUAAGAUCAUUAUGUUAAUGGGAACAUGGAGAACCACCCGGGAAAACAGUGCUACCACAAGGGUAUAAUGGGACGCCCUUGGCUGAUUAACUAGGAAAGCUAGUGGAGGGCUGCCUUACCCGAAAGGGGCAAGGGCAGUAGGGGAGUGGUCAGUGUAGGGAGGUCCCUGGUUGAUUUUGCUGCGAUGGCAGUCAGUCAGGAACCCUGCAUUGGAACUUUCUAUAAACUGUAGCGGGUAGUCUGAAGCUAGUGGAACUUUGUAAAGGCCUCGUAGUGGUACCCUGCCUCGCUUCCUAGGUAGAGGUGUAUGGAGUCUGAUCAACUCCGUGGCAAAUGGGUAACACGACUUGUGGGUAAAGAUGCGCAACCUCUGCAGAGUGUAAAACUGGUAUACUAGCCGUGCUCACGGUCAUGAGCGGCUCGGACACUCACAUGAUUAAAUUAUGGAACUUAAACUUAAUCUGUCAUUUCAUUGCAUGUGGGAUUAUUUUAUUAUUACUUUUAUUUAUAUUUACUAUGGUUUGGUAUUCACUUACACUUAGUAACUGCUAAUAAAAUUUUGACCAACUUCUAAAAGCAAUGCUCAGCUUCAGCCUUUAUUUCAUUGAUCAGCCUUACACUUCAUGAACUCCCACCUUUGGUGAGUUCAUGUCACAUUAUUCCCCACAACUUGUUGAGCGAUGAACGUAUGUGAGCUCACUCUUGCUGUCUCACACCCCCCCACAGGAGAAGAACAGGUGGUUCAGGAGGAGCCACAAGGCGAGGAGUAUGAUCUGUUCUAGGUGGCGUUUCUCAGUCGACAUUUGCGCCGACGAUCCUUAGUUCGUUUUAUGUUUAUUCUUUUAUUUUGUAUUAAGUCUUCCGCUAUGUAAUAAAUACUCUGAUGUUUUAUGACAUUUAUCUCUAUACACUCUGUUAUUAUAUAUGUUGUCUUCUUUGGCGCAUGUAUGAGAUGCACCCGGCUUUGUUCCUUAAAACCGGGUGUUACAGAACAAAGGCAACCUUCUACAACUGCACAAUUGAAGGUGGACAAGGCGCCCUGUAUGACCAGAUGGGGCUGCACUACUUCAAGUCCUGCACCAUCAGGGGCACCAUCGACUUCAUCUUUGGCUCUGCCAAGUCCUUUUACGAGGACUGCGCCAUUGUUUCCGUGAACAACAUGGAGGAGAUCAUGACCUUGCCUGUGGCACCACCUCAACUUGACAUUCACGACAAUCCAAUCAAGGUUGCCCCAGGGAAGGGAGGCUUCUCCUUCAAGACAUGUACCAUCACCGGGGAAGGGCAACAAAUCUUCCUCGGAAGGAUGGGCACGCCUUCCAUCUACUCCUACACCCAGAUUGCUAAGGAGGUUGUGCCCAUAAUCUACGACAAAGGGAACAUCUUCAUGCCCAGUAAUAUGUAUGCCGACCCAUGCAUGCAGCAAAAUCUCUCUCUCUCUCUCUUUAUAUAUAUAUAUACACUUGUUAUCUCAUAUCUAUAUCUAUGCAGGACUGGUAGACGAUGUGCCACUUUCAAGUGCUAUGGACCUGGGUUAGAGAAAAUAUGGCACGUCAAACUUAGAUACGCUGAAGCCAUAUACUUUCUUGGGACAGAUUUUAUCAACGGAGAUUCAUGGAUCCUGUCCAUACCAC